RNAcentral lists this long non-coding RNA (61726 nucleotides) under Sorghum bicolor (sorghum). Its description in RNAcentral is "long non-coding RNA (SBIC_LNC007429)". Lineage: Eukaryota; Viridiplantae; Streptophyta; Magnoliopsida; Poales; Poaceae. The record is from RNAcentral.
CGCUCAUCAGCACAUGAAGCCGGUGGGCACGGUCUUGCCGCAGUAGUUGAGGAUGAGGCUGAGAUCGAGUGGCACGUUGAGGUUGAUGCCGAGGACGUUGGCCUUGAUGGCGGUGCAGAGGCAGACGGCGGCCUCCAGGUCGACGAGCCCCGCCAGCAGCGGGCAGCAUGGCUCCGCGGGCGGCACGCCGACCUGAGCCUUGAUCAGGCCCAGCACAUUGGCGCACACGCCCAGCUUCAACGCAUCCCUGGGGCACGAGCCGUUCGACGACGACGAUGGCGUGGGUGUCGUCGGGCUGUUGGGCGCACAGGCGCUGGCUACGCCCAGCACAACCAGGUUCACGGCCAGGAACAGCGCGAACGCCUUGGACGCCAUUAUUGCUCGAUCACACCAGCUCGCGGAUCACUCUAGAGCUAAUAUGGUCAGAGAGCUCUUGACAAGUGAUUAGCAGCUAGUUUGCGAUGCUUUGAUCACGGGGUGUUACCAGGGAUACUUAUAGUCCAGCCUUAGGAUUAAGAAAUCGGUGCACUACUAGGCACGAUAGUGUUCAAAUGAACCGAGUCAUCAUAUUCAAAUAUAUACAGGUGAACCCGACCGGUGAGGAAGAGUCCGUUCUAGAUUAUUGCCUACAUCGUAUAUUUAGUGUUUUCCGUGAUACGGUAUCAAAUAUUUUGUGCACGACGACUUCGGUUGGCUCCGCAAAUGGCCAGCUCGUAUACUAAUAUUUGUUUUCAUAUGAUCAUUAGGCAUCAUUUCAGCUGGGCAUCCUGGCGGAUCCGACGGAGUGGUGCCCAGGACAUUGGAUGUCAAGCUAGCGAAGCAGCUGGUGAUUAAGAAGGAAUGUGUGGCGUGGCGCGUGCUCAUUUAGAAUGGAUGCGCAAGAACCAAGGCCAGAGGAAUAGCAUGGUCCUGAUAUACAAAUUAAACUAGCACGAUUGGAAGAAGUUUCAAAGCCACGACAAAACUCUAUAAUUCUUAUGUUUUGGUGUAGCAUUGAAAUUAUUUUUUUAGAAACCACAUUGAAACGUAAAUGAAAAUUUCGGACACAACCUUUGGGUCUACAUUGCUUGAUCACUGGCCUAUCCAUCAACUUUAAUUUGAGCCACAUGGACCAACCUUCUUAGCUCGGGAAAGUAACACUGCUGCACAAAUUAUUUCACAAGAGGCACUGGUCCCCGAUUUCACAGUCGAGGUCUGGCGCCAUCUCCGUUCUCCCUACGUUAUUCCCUGGCUCGACCUUUUUCCUCGUCUCCAUCCACCACCAUCCUUGUUGUGAGCGCCUUCCCAUGCCGCCAUCCGAGGAGGGGCUCCCUUGCCACUACGUCGUCUUCCUCGUCUUCUUUGUCGGAUGCGCCUUCUAGGUAGACCCCUCACUAAAUCCUAGCUUGGUUGUGCCUGUUAUUGCCUAAGAUGUGCCCAAAGAUGAAUUGAGCUGUGAUGUCAAUUUUCAAUGUUGCUUGUUAUGCUAUUUCCUAAUUAGUGCAGUUAUCAGCAUUGCAACUUUAUUGUACAGCAUCGACCGUGACGACUACAUAGACAACCGCUAUGGCAACUAGCGUCAGCUCUAGUGCCGCUGGGUAUGUUGUUGCAAACCGUCCUUUGUUUUCUAUGAUUAGAAUCAUGAUGAUUAGUAUCAUGUACACACAUGCACAUAUCAUUAGUAUCAUGUACACACAUGCACAUGUCAGAUGUCACAAAACAUGUUAUUCAGAAUUUUCUAUAUUAAACCGGUACUUAAUUUGCAUUAAAUUUAACGGCUGUAAUGGUGAAUGAGUUCAUCGCCCGCUAGUUUUACGUCUUUUUUGCAUUGCUGUCAGAAUGGGCUUCAAAUAUCUUUGGCAAAGAGACUGAGAGAGAGAGAUAGCUAGUUUUUGAAUUGCCAUGGACCCAAAUCCAAGGAUCCUGGACCAUGAAUGGAUUAUUUACUAUUAUACCAUUGGGAUUAGGAUAUAUAGUUGGGUCCAUGCAUGCUUGAUUAAUUUAUUAGUGCAGACACCAAAAACUAUUCUUUUUAUCACUACUUUCUUUAUAAUAUACACCAAAAAUUCUUUACUAAAUCUACCUCCCUCGAUCACAAACACGGUCAUGCCUAAUCUAAGUUCUAUAGCCUUUCUCUUCCUCACUGAAAAUCAAGGCCAAAGUCAUCCGGAUCAUGCACAUCAUUGACAUCUGUUGUGUCUUCAAACUUUUUGUGAAAGUUACCCGCUAAAAGGUUUUUGUUUGGUUUUGGUAAUUGAACAACUUAGGUGGACUAAUAGUUUUUAUGUGAGAUACACAGGAGAUUAGUCCAUAGGUGAAUAUGUAAUGAUGGAGAAGCUCAUUGCAUAUGAGACAUGACAUGGAGUCAUGUGACCAAGAUGGAGAAGAUCUAGAUAAGGCUUGGCUUGACGGACUGAUUGCAUGUGUGAAGGGCAAGUAGGAGGCUUUGAAGCGAGGGACCGCGUGUGACAGCGAAGCUUGAGCAAGACUUGGCAGCGUUGGAUGCUAGACCUGCGUCCGACAAUGUGUGAUAGAGUUGCACGGUGCAUUGGCGCGUCCGAAGGUUUUGCGUCGGACGCUGAUCGAGUACUAUUAAGCGUCCAACGCACGCAUCGUUUUGCGAGGUGUACGUGUAGGACGCUGGCGCGCGUCCGAUGAUCACCCGUUAGUGCGUGCGUGCAUGCAUGCAUGCAUGCUGACUAGUCGUACGUCGUACCACGUGGAAAAGUAAUCAAAUAACAACACAUAAUUCAAAAGAAAAAGUCUAUAUAACCCUCAAACUGGGGUGGACUACUUCACCCUCCAAACUAUAAAACUGGAUAUUCUACCCUCUAAACUUUCAAAACUGGUCAAAUAAUCCCUUCAGUUUUGUUGGACUCCCGAUGAGUAGAUCUACAAAGUGAAUAUAUAACAUGGUAUACUUUGGUAUAAAGUUUUUGCUGUAGCUUUAAAUCUAUGUUUUUCUAUAAUUAAUUCGAAUAAUUCAUAUAUAUAGUUCCUUUGGUUCAAUUGUCGUAAAAUUUUUAUGGUGGACUCAUUAAUGUAUACUUGAACUACAGUAAAAGUUUCAUAGUCAUUGGAUCAUGUAUAACUUGAUUCUACAAAAUAUUUGGAGAUACAAAUGUUGCUAAUAUUUAUUCUACAAAUCUUGUCAGAUGUAACAAAGCUAACAAACACGCAUGCCAUAGUCACACUCAUGAUAGGGGGGUAUACCUGUAACCAUGGGCAGAUUUAGGGGUAUUCCCCUUAUUCCCGGGAAUACCCAACUAUUUUGGUACUUUUAUGUAAAUAUGUAUAUGUAUAUAUAUAUAUAUAGUGCUAUAAUAUAUAGUAUUUUCGCACUUGUGAGCUCAAAACAUGUAAAAAAAAUUGGCAUUUCAAUUAGAAAUCUAUAUUCUAUAAAGCAAAUUUUGAUUUAAAGUUGCUGACUUGUAGUGCAAUUAGCUAUAUUUUAAGCCUAUAAAUUUGAUUUUGUGGAAGUGGGAAUACCCAAGUUUCAAAUCCUAACUCCGCCACUUCCUGUAACUCCUAUUAAGUAUGUGGUAGCCUGUACGUAUUCAUAUGCUCAAGUACGACAAGAAUAUAUAACCAGAACAUGCGUGCACACUGUGAAAUAAAUCGCAAACCAAACUUGAUUGGAACUUAGCACCCACAUACAAGUGAUCGCUGGCUUUUUUACAACAAAUGGAAAAAAUACAAAAGUGACAGCAUGGCCGGCCAUGCGUGCGUGCAGGCAUGCAUGUAUGGUGACUGCUGUACUAUGUGGAAAAGCAAUCAAAUAACAACGCAUCAUUUAAAUCGAGCUAAAAUUAAAAGACAAGAUGUCUCAUAUGUAUGUGCGUCGGCCCAUGCAUUGCAUGGCAUGCGCUCAUUAGCACAUGAAGCCGGUGGGCACGGUCUUGCCGCAGUAGUUGAGGAUGAGGCUGAGAUCGAGUGGCACGUUGAGGUUGAUGCCGAGGACGUUGGCCUUGAUGGCGGUGCAGAGACAGACGGCGGCCUCCAGGUCGACGAGCCCCGCCAGCAGCGGGCAGCAUGGCUCCGCGGGCGGCACGCCGACCUGAGCCUUGAUCAGGCCCAGCACGUUGGCGCACACGCCCAGCUUCAACGCGUCCCUGGGGCACGAGCCGGACGACGACGACGAUGGCGUGGGUGUCGUCGGGCUGUUGGGCGCACAGGCGCUGGCUACGCCCAGCACAACUAGGUUCACGGCCAGGAACAGCGCGAACGCCUUGGACGUCAUUACUGCUCGAUCACAAGCCAGCUACCAAGCUCGCGGAUCACUCUAGAGCUAAUGUAGUUAGGGAGCUCUUGACAAGUGAUUAGCAGCUUGUUUGCGAUUCUUUGAUCAUGGGGUGUUACCAGGGGUACUUAUAGUCCAGCCUCGGGAUUAAGAAAUUAGCGCACUACUAGGCACGAUAGUGUUGUUCAUAUGAACCCGACCAUCAUAUUCGAAUACAUAUGCAGGUAAACCCGGCCGGUGAGGAAGAGUUCGUUCUGAAUUAUUUGCCUAUAUUGUAUAACUAGUGUUAUCCAUGAUACGGUAUCAAAUAUUUUGUGCACGGCUUCGGUUGGCUCCGCAAAUGGCCAGCUCGUAUACUAGCAUUUGUUUUCGUAUGAUCAUUAGGUGUCAUUUCAGCUCGGGAUCCUGCCGUAUCCGAAGGAGUGGUGCGCAGGACAUUGGAUGUCAAGCUAGCAAAGCAGCUGGUGAUUAAGAAUGAAUGCGUGGCGUGGCGCGUGGUCAUUAAGAAUGGGUGCGCAGGAACCAAGGCUACCUAGAGGAAUAGCAUGGUGCUGGUAUACAAAUUGAACUAGCUGGAUUGGAUGAAGUUUCACUACUACAGAUUCAGUCAUCACUGCCGGCCUCAUCAUUGAUGGAAUUAGGAGCACAGGUAGUGAUGCCCCUUUACUUCCGUUUCUAGGCCCUGACAACCAAAAAAUGCUUGGGGGUGUGACAGAACCGGCAGUGAUGACAACUAUCAUUGUCGGUUUGCAUCUCAUAUCAGCAGUGACUUGACGGCCACUAGCCAAGAACCGAUGGUGAGAUGGCAGAAGAAUAACGCCAGUGGCGGAUCUAGAGAAAUUUGGAGGGGGUAUGAUCAUAAAUAAUGCACCUAGCAACCGAUCACAUGUUUAUUUUUCUAUGGCGUGGUGUGUUACCACUUGCCACCGAUCACAAGUUUUUUAGACCAUAAUAGGAGUUUGCUAAAAAAAUAUUUUUUUCUUUUGCACGGUGAUCCAAUAUAUUAUUAGAAUGAAUGUCUCAUAAUAUAUAAAAGAGCUGUGAAGUUGCGGUCAUGCUUGUAGUUUUUCUUCCGCGUCUUUUAGGGAUGGUGCUUAUACCAAUUUUGGUGCCUCGCCCAAACUAAUAUAUGCAUUACUUUUUAUAUAUUAAUUCUACAUCAUUUUCUAGCUCCAUCGAUUGACCCAUAUUAAAAUCACGAAAUGGAUCUCUUUGGAUGGAAAGUGGGCUGAGCAAUCAAGCAACAGAAACCAAUUUAUUUGCUUCAUCUUUUUCAUAAAUAUCAAUUAUCAAACAUUAGAGAAAGAAAAAAGUCUAGUCCUAGAAUUUGGACAAACUAGUAAGAAGGAAAGAACCACAAAAUGAAAGACAAUUUGGAUGCUCAUAAGACCGAAAUUGGAAGAAUAGAGAACCUUGGAAGUUACUUACUUUGACUUUUGAAUGAUGAACAUAAUAUUGAAGAUCAUAGCCAGGGCAACGGGGCGAACUAUGAUGUGCUCUUGGUGCCCUUGACCCUAAGGCUACAAGCUUGGACAGAGCACAACAAUGCCCAUGGCCAAUCGGCCAUGGUCGACGACCAGUGGUAGUAGGUCACCAUCCACCGGAGUUCACGCUGUCGCCAAGGGGAGGCGAUGCGUCGGCAGUUUUUGUAACACCCAAAAAUUUGUUUUUGAAUUAAUAGGAUUUAAUGAGAAUUAUUUAAGCAAUUUUUGUGGGCAUUUAAUCUAGUAAAUAAAAUAUUUUUGUCAAAAUUAAAAUUUAUUAUAAGUUUAGAAACUUGAAUCUUGCAUUCAUGCUGGAUCAUAGUAUUUUUUGUGUGUUGUUCCUGUUUUUAUUUUAUUGUUUGUGCUUUCAAAAUGCUAUUUGGAAAAGGUUUUGGAAAAGAAAACAUAAAAGAAAUUGAAAAAAAAGAGAAAGGGGGAAGCCCUCCCUGUCGGCCUGGCGGCCAGCCAGCGCCUGGCUUUCUCCCCCCAACCCGCGGCCCAGCUUACGGCCCAGGGCGAGCAGGCGCGCCCCACUUCCCUCCCUCUCCCUCCUUUCUGCGGCUGACGACACGGGCCCACGCGUCAGCGCCUAUCUCCUUCUUCCCAGCGUCAACGAGCCGGUUUCGGCCGGGAGACUCUCCAGCGCCGAACCGAAUCCGGGGAAGCGGGAUUUCCUUGCCAAUUUGGCUAAACUGCGCCCUUUUAAGCCCCUGCGCACCGCGGCGAGUUCUCAUCUGCAUCCUAAUCGCGAAACCGAGCCCUAGCCGCCCUAAACCACGCGAAUUGGAUCUCGCCGACAGCCGCGCACAUCCUUCACCGUGACGAGCACUAUCCCCUUCCAAUCAGCGCGAACCGAGCGUCUAGGUGAGUUCGCGUGAAGCUUCUCCGCGUCCCGGUGUUUUUCUUUCUUGAAACGGUGCUCGGAAACGAGAAGUCCGCGGACGCCGGCGAGCUCGACCUCCCUGUCCAUGGCGACCACCGCACCAGAGAGGAGGCAGACGGCCGGCCGUCGCCUGGCCCCUCCCUGGUGGCCUGGGGACCGUCCAUCUGAAGAUCAAGGGCCCAGAUUAAAACAUACCCCUUCGCCAGGAAAAAUUGUUAAAGAGCCUCUGGAGUUUUUGCUAUUCAACUCGUCAUCCUUUACGUAUUUCAAGUUUACGUUUCCUUUCAGAAAGCGUAUUCUGGUCGGCUGAAUCUAAAAUACGUUUUCAGUUAUUUCAGUUAAUUACAGAAUGCCACUGGAUUUGUUUUGCUUAUAAAAUAUUCAUAUUAACUCCGUUUUUAUCCAUUCAAAUUCCGUUAGAUUCGUAAUUACAUGCUCUACAUGUUAGAAAUGUUAGUUUACUGUUUUGGAACCUUUUAAUUUCCUGGUACUAUUUAAUUAAUUAUUUCUCUAUAGGAAAUCUUAGAAAAUUCAUAUCUUUCACGUUUUAAUUCCGAUUUUCGUGAACUUUACGUUUAUGUGAUCAUAGCGCUGCGUAGAAUAUUUUGAUAAGCUUUUAUAUUUGUUUUACUACUGUUUGGUGUAUUGUUCUAAUAAUAGCUUGUUUGCUUCGUGUAUGAUUGUCUACAUUGGAUUGCGUGUUGUUGAUUGAUGAUUGGGAAUAGACGGUGAGCCGUACGUUGGUGAUCAAGACCAAGCUUUUGAAGACCAGCAAGCUCAGAAGAGCUUUGAGCAAGGCAAGUAUAACUUGGGAUCAUCCUUGUUACCUAUUCACUUAUAACUACACAUAUAUAUCAUAUGCAUGCUAUCACCUUGUCGACCUUAGCAAAAUCAUAGAUGUUUGUUACCUGUAUUCCUUGUUACCUACUUGAUAUGCAUUUGGUGUAGAUGUGCUAGUGCUUGAUAUAAUCUAUGAUCUUGUAAGAUAAUUAAUAGCUAUGCAAUGAACGUUAAAAGAUGACAAAUAACUAUAUGAGAUCUUGUCUGUAAGUGAUCACCGGGACAACAGUGCAACCAUGAGGGCUAUAAUGGCUCUGGCUUUAGCUCAGUAUGAAGACUUUUCUAGCUUGUUAGAGGUUACCCGAAAGGGCGGAGGGGCUGAACCGUUUUGGGUAUAGUGCGAGCCCCUGUCCCUAUGUGUAUAGGCUGCGCGUCAUUGUGCCAUUCGGAAAAGGGUAUCUAUAUCUGCGCGCAAAGGAAACCUUGCGGCCCUAACAUGUUAGACGAACUUUUGAAAGGCUUCAUAGUGAUCCCUGCCGACCUCCCUAGGAAGGGGGUUAAGAGAUUAGCUACCUCGGGCGAAAGGGUAAAUCAUGACUCAUGGGUAAAGAUGUACAAACUCUGCAGAGUGUAAAACUGGUAUACUAGCCGUGCUCACGGUUAUGAGCAGCCUUGGAGGUUCUUGCUGCGCCGACGAUGAGCUUAUUAAGUUGUUAUGUCCAUUUGAUUAUCGUUUAUGCUAUGAGAUUAAUUAUGCUUACACUUGAUCAUGUGAUUAAUGGAUUAUUUAUGCUACCUUGAUAUUUGCUAUCCAAUGAUUAAACAUGUUAUCCACUAUUAAAAGCUAAAUGCAGUCAAACCAGUGUCAGCUAUUUGAGCCUCAUGAACCCCUGGUUAUACUUGUUGAGUACGAUAUGUGCUCACUCUUGCAAUUUCCCAACACCUUAGGUUAUGUUAAUGAUGAUGCUUGGAAUGAGGAUUACCGUUAUGAGUACUAGGUUUGGAGUCAACCAGUCAACAGUGUCCCUGUGUGGAGCUUCCGUCGAGAGCGUUGUUUACUUUAUGCUAUCAUUUUUGUAUGAGACUAUGUGAGUUCCGCUAUGUAAUAAACACUGCAAUGGUACUUUUGAGAUUUGUCUACUUAUGUGUGCGACUGUUUCUGGGACACAUAUGAGUCUUUUAUGCAUCCUAUUUUGUUCUUAAAAUAUGGGUGUGACAGUUUUGCCUGAGUUGAAGUGGCGUCCGAGUUGUCGAUGAUUCCAUGCGGACAGGGGCCUGGCUGAUAUUGGGCUAUGUGUUGAGGAGUUGUGGGCUGUUGUGGCCUCUCUCGAUCGACUCAGCAGAGUUGUGGGUGCAGAUGUUUGGAUUCAGGGGGUGCGAAUACCAUAGAAACAUGCAAAGUAUAGCAUAUUUUGUAUUUUUGUCUGGGUGUGGCCGCACCCAGUAGAUCCUAUAUGGAUCCGCCCAUGUAUAACGCACAUGGAGAAAAUACACAGGUGGCAAAGCAAGACAAGCAUGGCUGAGGGACAGAGGCGGCGAAGCGGUGUGCAUCAUCCAUGGGGACGGAAGAGUGAUGCAUUAGUGGCUCAUGCAUGGAUGAGGAAGAGAGGAGGCAGUUGAGUGGCUCUUAGUUCGCAGACGACUUAACUCCGGGUCUGUAUAGUUCAACUGUCACCAGAUAACUAUGAAAAAGCUCAUGUGAGCUAUGCGCUCUAGAAAAAUUAUAAGUUGUUUGGUUAAAGCAACUACAAAACCUAUUAGGGGUGGAUCUAGCACGUAGUCGAGCGGCGUCGAGCCCCUCUUACUGCCAUUGGAAAUGUAAAGCCUCUCCUAUAAGUUUGUAGCUAUUAAAGUUUAAAAGAAAUUGCUAAAUGCAAAAGAUAAGGAGGAUGAGCCCCUCAUACCUAUCCAAUCUAAUCUCUCUUGAAAUGAUUAUGAAAUGUUGCUAUAUUUCCACCCAUUUGGAAGUUGGAAUAACUGAAAGCAAGAAGUAGGGUUCAAGGUGUGAAAAUUAUACUGUGAAAGCAGUAGCUUCUAAAAAAAUAGCUUUAGAUGUUUUAUCGGUUAACACCACCACAAUAGCAAUUUUCCUAGGUGACCAUAAUUGGUUUUUGGAGUCGGGCAGCCAGUACGUCUGCCUCUCCUUCAACACCAGUAUAAAUCAAGAUUUAUGCAGGCGGACACUUGCUCAUCUGUGUUAACAAAAUAAGAAAUGGCAUGCGCAUCGAUGAGGCCCUCCAAGCCUAUCCACAAGGCCCGCCGAGCCCAUUCACGUGCUGCCAUUGUCGCUGGAUCCGCUCGUCGGAUCCACGCUCACUAGAGGAAGGGAGCAGCGUACUACCGACAUAGGGCCUGCGUGCCAUCGCCGAUUGCCCCAAACGCUGCGCUGGAGGAAGUGUGGAUCGCGCACCGCUGCUAGUGGCCGCAUGCACUGCGCCACCGUCUGAUUUUUGUCCGACACCCCGCACCACCGUCUGACAAAUAGUAUCAUUCUCACCUUCUGAGAAGUUAAACAUUUUAAAUUUUGACUAAAUAUAUAUACAGAAAUAUUAGUAUUUAUGGUGUAAAAUUAGUAUCAUUAGAUAGAUCGGUAAAUAUAUUUUUAUUAUAAACUACGUGAAGAUGUAAAUAUUGAUAAUAUUUAUUUUACAUAAUUUGUCAGAUUCAAGAAAGCUUACCAACACACAUUCCUUCUCAGUGACACUCAAGAGAAUAAGUACGUGGUAGACAGUACGUUUUCAUAUGCUCAAGUACGACUAGAAUAUAACCAGAACAUGCAUGCGAAACUGUGAAAUAAAUCGCAAACCAAACUUGAUUGGAACUUAGCACCGGCAUACAAGUGAUCGCCGGCUUUUUUUCAACAAAUGAAAAAAAUACAAUUUGACAGCACGGCCGGCCAUGCGUGCAUGCAUGUAUGCUGACUAGUCGUACAUCAUACUACGUGGAAAAGCAAUCAAAUAACAACGCAUCAUUAAAACCGAGCUGAAAUUAAAAGACAAGAUGUCUCAAGGCGCUGAGAUCCAGGCGCUCAUCAGCACAUGAAGCCGGUGGGCACGGUCUUGCCGCAGUAGUUGAGGAUGAGGCUGAGAUCGAGUGGCACGUUGAGGUUGAUGCCGAGGACGUUGGCCUUGAUGGCGGUGCAGAGACAGACGGCGGCCUCCAGGUCGACGAGCCCCGCCAGCAGCGGGCAGCAUGGCUCCGCGGGCGGCACGCCGACCUGAGCCUUGAUCAGGCCCAGCACAUUGGCGCACACGCCCAGCUUCAACGCAUCCCUGGGGCACGAGCCGUUCGACGACGACGAUGGCGUGGGUGUCGUCGGGCUGUUGGGCGCACAGGCGCUGGCUACGCCCAGCACAACCAGGUUCACGGCCAGGAACAGCGCGAACGCCUUGGACGCCAUUAUUGCUCGAUCACACCAGCUCGCGGAUCACUCUAGAGCUAAUAUGGUCAGAGAGCUCUUGACAAGUGAUUAGCAGCUAGUUUGCGAUGCUUUGAUCACGGGGUGUUACCAGGGAUACUUAUAGUCCAGCCUUAGGAUUAAGAAAUCGGUGCACUACUAGGCACGAUAGUGUUCAAAUGAACCGAGUCAUCAUAUUCAAAUAUAUACAGGUGAACCCGACCGGUGAGGAAGAGUCCGUUCUAGAUUAUUGCCUACAUCGUAUAUUUAGUGUUUUCCGUGAUACGGUAUCAAAUAUUUUGUGCACGACGACUUCGGUUGGCUCCGCAAAUGGCCAGCUCGUAUACUAAUAUUUGUUUUCAUAUGAUCAUUAGGCAUCAUUUCAGCUGGGCAUCCUGGCGGAUCCGACGGAGUGGUGCCCAGGACAUUGGAUGUCAAGCUAGCGAAGCAGCUGGUGAUUAAGAAGGAAUGUGUGGCGUGGCGCGUGCUCAUUUAGAAUGGAUGCGCAAGAACCAAGGCCAGAGGAAUAGCAUGGUCCUGAUAUACAAAUUAAACUAGCACGAUUGGAAGAAGUUUCAAAGCCACGACAAAACUCUAUAAUUCUUAUGUUUUGGUGUAGCAUUGAAAUUAUUUUUUUAGAAACCACAUUGAAACGUAAAUGAAAAUUUCGGACACAACCUUUGGGUCUACAUUGCUUGAUCACUGGCCUAUCCAUCAACUUUAAUUUGAGCCACAUGGACCAACCUUCUUAGCUCGGAAAAGUAACACUGCUGCACAAAUGAUUUCACAAGAGGCACUGGUCCCCGAUUUCACAGUCAAGGUCUGGCGCCAUCUCCGUUCUCCCUACGUUCUUCCCCGGCUCGACCUUUUUCCUCGUCUCCAUCCACCACCAUCCUUGUUGUGAGCGCCUUCCCAUGCCGCCAUCCGAGGAGGGGCUCCCUUGCCACUACGUCGUCUUCCUCGUCUUCUUUGUCGGAUGCGCCUUCUAGGUAGACCCCUCACUAAAUCCUAGCUUGGUUGUGCCUGUUAUUGCCUAAGAUGUGCCAAAGAUGAAUUGAGCUGUGAUGUCAAUUUUCAAUGUUGCUUGUUAUGCUAUUUCCUAAUUAGUGCAGUUAUCAGCAUUGCAACUUUAUUGUACAGCAUCGACCGUGACGACUACAUAGACAACCGCUAUGGCAACUAGCGUCAGCUCUGGUGCCGCUGGGUAUGUUGUUGCAAACCGUCCUUUGUUUUCUAUGAUUAGAAUCAUGAUGAUUAGUAUCAUGUACACACAUGCACAUGUCAUUAGUAUCAUGUACACACAUGCACAUGUCAGAUGUCACAAAACAUGUUAUUCAGAAUUUUCUAUAUUAAACCGGUACUUAAUUUGCAUUAAAUUUAACGGCUGUAAUGGUGAAUGAGUUCAUCGCCCGCUAGUUUUACGUCUUUUUUCAUUGCUGUCAGAAUGUGCUUCAAAUAUCUUUGGCAGAGAGACUGAGAGAGAGAGAGAGUUAGCUAGUUUUUGAAUUGCCAUGGACCCAAAUCCAAGGAUCCUGGACCAUGAAUGGAUUCUUUACCAUUAUACCAUUGGGAUUAGGAUAUAUAGUUGGGUCCAUGCAUGCUUGAUUAAUUUAUUAGUGCAGACACCAAAAACUAUCCUUUUUAUCACUACUUUCUUUAUAAUAUACACCAAAAAUUCUUUACUAAAUCUACUUCCCUCGAUCACAAACACGGUCAUGCCUAAUCUAAGUUCUAUAGCCUUUCUCUUCCUCACUGAAAAUCAACGCCAAAGUCAUCUGGAUCAUGCACAUCAUUGACAUCAGUUGUGUCUUCAAACUUUUUGUGAAAGUUACCCGCUAAAAGGUUUUUGUUUGGUUUUGGUAAUUGAACAACUUAGCUGGACUAAUAGUUUUUAUGUGAGAUACACAGGAGAUUAGUCCAUAGGUGAAUAUGUAAUGAUGGAGAAGCUCAUUGCAUAUGAGAUAUGACAUGGAGUCAUGUGACCAAGAUGGAGAAGAUCUAGAUAAGGCUUGGCUUUACGGACUGAUUGCAUGUGUGAAGGGCAAGUCGGAGGCUUUGAAGCGAGGGACCGCGUGUGACAGCGAAGCUUGAGCAAGACUUGGCAGCGUUGGAUGCUAGACCUGCGUCCGACAAUGUGGGAUAGAGUUGCACGGUGCAUUGGCGCGUCCGAAGGUUUUGCGUCGGACGCUGAUCGAGUACUAUUAAGCGUCCAACGCACGCAGCGUUUUGCGAGGUGUACGUGUAGCACGCUGGCGCGCGUCCGAUGAUCACCCGUUAGUGCGUGCGUGCAUGCAUGCAUGCAUGCUGACUAGUCGUACGUCGUACCACGUGGAAAAGCAAUCAAAUAACAACACAUAAUUCAAAAGAAAAAGUCUAUAUAACCCUCAAACUGGGGUGGACUACUUCACCCUCCAAACUAUAAAACUGGAUAUUCUACCCUCUAAACUUUCAAAACUGGUCAAAUAAUCCCUUCAGUUUUGUUGGACUCCCGAUGAGUAGAUCUACAAAGUGAAUAUAUAACAUGGUAUACUUUGGUAUAAAGUUUUUGCUGUAGCUUUAAAUCUAUGUUUUUCUAUAAUUAAUUCGAAUAAUUCAUAUAUAUAGUUCCUUUGGUUCAAUUGUCGUAAAAUUUUUAUGGUGGACUCAUUAAUGUAUACUUGAACUACAGUAAAAGUUUCAUAGUCAUUGGAUCAUGUAUAACUUGAUUCUACAAAAUAUUUGGAGAUACAAAUGUUGCUAAUAUUUAUUCUACAAAUCUUGUCAGAUGUAACAAAGCUAACAAACACGCAUGCCAUAGUCACACUCAUGAUAGGGGGGUAUACCUGUAACCAUGGGAAGAUUUAGGGGUAUUCCCCUUAUUCCCGGGAAUACCCAACUAUUUUGGUACUUUUAUGUAAAUAUGUAUAUGUAUAUAUAUAUAUAUAUAUAUAGUGCUAUAAUAUAUAGUAUUUUCGCACUUGUGAGCUCAAAACAUGUAAAAAAAAUUGGCAUUUCAAUUAGAAAUCUAUAUUCUAUAAAGCAAAUUUUGAUUUAAAGUUGCUGACUUGUAGUGCAAUUAGCUAUAUUUUAAGCCUAUAAAUUUGAUUUUGUGGAAGUGGGAAUACCCAAGUUUCAAAUGCUAACUCCGCCACUUCCUGUAACUCCUAUUAAGUAUGUGGUAGCCUGUACGUAUUCAUAUGCUCAAGUACGACAAGAAUAUAUAACCAGAACAUGCGUGCACACUGUGAAAUAAAUCGCAAACCAAACUUGAUUGGAACUUAGCACCCACAUACAAGUGAUCGCUGGCUUUUUUACAACAAAUGGAAAAAAUACAAAAGUGACAGCAUGGCCGGCCAUGCGUGCGUGCAGGCAUGCAUGUAUGGUGACUGCUGUACUAUGUGGAAAAGCAAUCAAAUAACAACGCAUCAUUUAAAUCGAGCUAAAAUUAAAAGACAAGAUGUCUCAUAUGUAUGUGCGUCGGCCCAUGCAUUGCAUGGCAUGCGCUCAUUAGCACAUGAAGCCGGUGGGCACGGUCUUGCCGCAGUAGUUGAGGAUGAGGCUGAGAUCGAGUGGCACGUUGAGGUUGAUGCCGAGGACGUUGGCCUUGAUGGCGGUGCAGAGACAGACGGCGGCCUCCAGGUCGACGAGCCCCGCCAGCAGCGGGCAGCAUGGCUCCGCGGGCGGCACGCCGACCUGAGCCUUGAUCAGGCCCAGCACGUUGGCGCACACGCCCAGCUUCAACGCGUCCCUGGGGCACGAGCCGGACGACGACGACGAUGGCGUGGGUGUCGUCGGGCUGUUGGGCGCACAGGCGCUGGCUACGCCCAGCACAACUAGGUUCACGGCCAGGAACAGCGCGAACGCCUUGGACGUCAUUACUGCUCGAUCACAAGCCAGCUACCAAGCUCGCGGAUCACUCUAGAGCUAAUGUAGUUAGGGAGCUCUUGACAAGUGAUUAGCAGCUUGUUUGCGAUUCUUUGAUCAUGGGGUGUUACCAGGGGUACUUAUAGUCCAGCCUCGGGAUUAAGAAAUUAGCGCACUACUAGGCACGAUAGUGUUGUUCAUAUGAACCCGACCAUCAUAUUCGAAUACAUAUGCAGGUAAACCCGGCCGGUGAGGAAGAGUUCGUUCUGAAUUAUUUGCCUAUAUUGUAUAACUAGUGUUAUCCAUGAUACGGUAUCAAAUAUUUUGUGCACGGCUUCGGUUGGCUCCGCAAAUGGCCAGCUCGUAUACUAGCAUUUGUUUUCGUAUGAUCAUUAGGUGUCAUUUCAGCUCGGGAUCCUGCCGUAUCCGAAGGAGUGGUGCGCAGGACAUUGGAUGUCAAGCUAGCAAAGCAGCUGGUGAUUAAGAAUGAAUGCGUGGCGUGGCGCGUGGUCAUUAAGAAUGGGUGGGCAGGAACCAAGGCUACCUAGAGGAAUAGCAUGGUCCUGGUAUACAAAUUAAACUAGCUGGAUUGAAUGAAGUUUCAAUACUACAGAUUCAGUUAUCACUGCCGGCCUCAUCAUUUAUGGAAUUAGGAGAACCGGUAGUGAUGGCCCUUUACUUCCGGUUCUAGGCCCUGACAACCAAAAAAUGCUUGGGGGUGUGACAGAACCGGCAGUGAUGACAACUGUCAUUGUCGGUUUGCAUCUCUAACCAGCAGUGACUUGACGGCCACUAGCCAAGAACCGAUGGUGAGAUGGCAGAAGAAUAACGCCAGUGGCGGAUCUAGAGAAAUUUGGAGGGGGUAUGAUCAUAAAUAAUGCACCUAGCAACCGAUCACAUGUUUAUUUUUCUAUGGCGUGGUGUGUUGCCACUUGCCACCGAUCACAAGUUUUUUAGACCAUAAUAGGAGUUUGCUAAAAAAUUUUUUUUUUCUUUUGCACGGUGAUCCAAUAUAUUAUUAGAAUGAAUGCCUCAUAAUAUAUAAAAGAGCUGUGAAGUUGCGGUCAUGCUUGUAGUUUUUCUUCCGCGUCUUUUAGGGAUGGUGCUUGUACCAAUUUUGGUGCUUCCCCCAAACUAAUAUAUAUAUUACUUUUUAUAAAUUAAUUCUACAUCAUUUUCUAGCUCCAUCGGUUGUCCCAUAUUAAAAUCACGAAAUGGAUCUCUUUGGAUGGAAAGUGGGCUGAGCAAACAAGCAACAGAAACCAAUUUAUUUCCUUCAUCUUUUUUCAUAAAUAUCAAUUAUGAAACAUCAGAGAAAGAAAAAAGUCUAAUCCUAGAAUUUGGACAAACUAGUAAGAAGGAAAGAACCACAAAAUUAAAGACAAUUUGGAUGCUCAUAAGACCGAAAUUGGAAGAAUAGAGAACCUUGAAAGUUGCUUACUUUGACUUUUGAAUGAUGAACAUAAUAUUGAAGAUCAUAGCCAGGGAAACGGGGCGAACUAUGAUGUGCUCUUGGUGCCCUUGACUCUAAGGCUACAAGCUUGGACAGAGCACAACAAUGCCCAUGGCCAAUCGGCCAUGGUCGACGACCAGUGGUAGUAGGUCACCAUCCACCGGAGUUCACGCUGUCGCCAAGGGGAGGCGAUGCGUCGGCAGUUUUUGUAACACCCAAAAAUUUGUUUUUGAAUUAAUAGGAUUUAAUGAGAAUUAUUUAAGCAAUUUUUGUGGGCAUUUAAUCUAGUAAAUAAAAUAUUUUUGUCAAAAUUAAAAUUUAUUAUAAGUUUAGAAACUUGAAUCUUGCAUUCAUGCUGGAUCAUAGUAUUUUUUGUGUGUUGUUCCUGUUUUUAUUUUAUUGUUUGUGCUUUCAAAAUGCUAUUUGGAAAAGGUUUUGGAAAAGAAAACAUAAAAGAAAUUGAAAAAAAAGGGAAAGGGGGAAGCCCUCCCUGUCGGCCUGGCGGCCCAGCCAGCGCCUGGCUUUCUCCCCCCAACCCGCGGCCCAGCUUACGGCCCAGGGCGAGCAGGCGCGCCCCACUUCCCUCCCUCUCCCUCCUUUCUGCGGCUGACGACACGGGCCCACGCGUCAGCGCCUAUCUCCUUCUUCCCAGCGUGGACGAGCCGGUUUCGGCCGGGAGACUCUCCAGCGCCGAACCGAAUCCGGGGAAGCGGGAUUUCCUUGCCAAUUUGGCUAAACUGCGCCCUUUUAAGCCCCUGCGCACCGCGGCGAGUUCUCAUCUGCAUCCUAAUCGCGAAACCGAGCCCUAGCCGCCCUAAACCACGCGAAUUGGAUCUCGCCGACAGCCGCGCACAUCCUUCACCGUGACGAGCACUAUCCCCUUCCAAUCAGCGCGAACCGAGCGUCUAGGUGAGUUCGCGUGAAGCUUCUCCGCGUCCCGGUGUUUUUCUUUCUUGAAACGGUGCUCGGAAACGAGAAGUCCGCGGACGCCGGCGAGCUCGACCUCCCUGUCCAUGGCGACCACCGCGCCAGAGAGGAGGCAGACGGCCGGCCGUCGCCUGGCCCCUCCCUGGUGGCCUGGGGACCGUCCAUCUGAAGAUCAAGGGCCCAGAUUAAAACAUACCCCUUCGCCAGGAAAAAUUGUUAAAGAGCCUCUGGAGUUUUUGCUAUUCAACUCGCCAUCCUUUACAUAUUUCGAGUUUACGUUUCCUUUCGGAAAGCGUAUUCUGGUCGGCUGAAUCUAAAAUACGUUUUCAGUUAUUUCAGUUAAUUACAGAAUGCCAUUGGAUUUGUUUUGCUUAUAAAAUAUUCAUAUUAACUCCGUUUUUGUCCAUUCAAAUUCCGUUAGAUUCGUAAUUACAUGCUCUACAUGUUAGAAAUGUUAGUUUACUGUUUUGGAACCUUUUAAUUUCCUGGUACUAUUUAAUUAAUUAUUUCUCUAUAGGAAAUCUUAGAAAAUUCAUAUCUUUCACGUUUUAAUUCCGAUUUUCGUGAACUUUACGUUUAUGUGAUCAUAGCGCUGCGUAGAAUAUUUUGAUAAGCUUUUAUAUUUGUUUUACUACUGUUUGGUGUAUUGUUCUAAUAAUAGCUUGUUUGCUUCGUGUAUGAUUGUCUACAUUGGAUUGCGUGUUGUUGAUUGAUGAUUGGGAAUAGACGGUGAGCCGUACGUUGGUGAUCAAGACCAAGCUUUUGAAGACCAGCAAGCUCAGAAGAGCUUUGAGCAAGGCAAGUAUAACUUGGGAUCAUCCUUGUUACCUAUUCACUUAUGACUACACAUAUAUAUCAUAUGCAUGCUAUCACCUUGUCGACCUUAGCAAAAUCAUAGAUGUUUGUUACCUGUAUUCCUUGUUACCUACUUGAUAUGCAUUUGGUGUAGAUGUGCUAGUGCUUGAUAUAAUCUAUGAUCUUGUAAGAUAAUUAAUAGCUAUGCAAUGAACGUUAAAAGAUGACAAAUAACUAUAUGAGAUCUUGUCUGUAAGUGAUCACCGGGACAACAGUGCAACCAUGAGGGCUAUAAUGGCUCUGGCUUUAGCUCAGUAUGAAGACUUUUCUAGCUUGUUAGAGGUUACCCGAAAGGGCGGAGGGGCUGAACCGUUUUGGGUAUAGUGCGAGCCUCUGUCCCUAUGUGUAUAGGCUGCGCGUCAUUGUGCCAUUCGGAAAAGGGUAUCUAUAUCUGCGCGCAAAGGAAACCUUGCGGCCCUAACAUGUUAGACGAACUUUUGAAAGGCUUCAUAGUGAUCCCUGCCGACCUCCCUAGGAAGGGGGUUAAGAGAUUAGCUACCUCGGGCGAAAGGGUAAAUCAUGACUCAUGGGUAAAGAUGUACAAACUCUGCAGAGUGUAAAACUGGUAUACUAGCCGUGCUCACGGUUAUGAGCAGCCUUGGAGGUUCUUGCUGCGCCGACGAUGAGCUUAUUAAGUUGUUAUGUCCAUUUGAUUAUCGUUUAUGCUAUGAGAUUAAUUAUGCUUACACUUGAUCAUGUGAUUAAUGGAUUAUUUAUGCUACCUUGAUAUUUGCUAUCCAAUGAUUAAACAUGUUAUCCACUAUUAAAAGCUAAAUGCAGUCAAACCAGUGUCAGCUAUUUGAGCCUCAUGAACCCCUGGUUAUACUUGUUGAGUACGAUAUGUGCUCACUCUUGCAAUUUCCCAACACCUCAGGUUAUGUUAAUGAUGAUGCUUGGAAUGAGGAUUACCGUUAUGAGUACUAGGUUUGGAGUCAACCAGUCAACAGUGUCCCUGUGUGGAGCUUCCGUCGAGAGCGUUGUUUACUUUAUGCUAUCAUUUUUGUAUGAGACUAUGUGAGUUCCGCUAUGUAAUAAACACUGCAAUGGUACUUUUGAGAUUUGUCUACUUAUGUGUGCGACUGUUUCUGGGACACAUAUGAGUCUUUUAUGCAUCCUAUUUUGUUCUUAAAAUAUGGGUGUGACAGUUUUGCCCGAGUUGAAGUGGCGUCCGAGUUGUCGAUGAUUCCAUGCGGACAGGGGCCUGGCUGAUAUUGGGCUAUGUGUUGAGGAGUUGUGGGCUGUUGUGGCCUCUCUCGAUCGACUCAGCAGAGUUGUGGGUGCAGAUGUUUGGAUUCAGGGGGUGCGAAUACCAUAGAAACAUGCAAAGUAUAGCAUAUUUUGUAUUUUUGUCUGGGUGUGGCCGCACCCAGUAGAUCCUAUAUGGAUCCGCCCAUGUAUAGAAGCUCAUUGCAUAUGAGAUAUGACAUGGAGUCAUGUGACCAAGAUGGAGAAGAUCUAGAUAAGGCUUGGCUUGACGGACUGAUUGCAUGUGUGAAGGGCAAGUCGGAGGCUUUGAAGCGAGGGACCGCGUGUGACAGCGAAGCUUGAGCAAGACUUGGCAGCGUUGGAUGCUAGACCUGCGUCCGACAAUGUGGGAUAGAGUUGCACGGUGCAUUGGCGCGUCCGAAGGUUUUGCGUCGGACGCUGAUCGAGUACUAUUAAGCGUCCAACGCACGCAGCGUUUUGCGAGGUGUACGUGUAGCACGCUGGCGCGCGUCCGAUGAUCACCCGUUAGUGCGUGCGUGCAUGCAUGCAUGCAUGCUGACUAGUCGUACGUCGUACCACGUGGAAAAGCAAUCAAAUAACAACACAUAAUUCAAAAGAAAAAGUCUAUAUAACCCUCAAACUGGGGUGGACUACUUCACCCUCCAAACUAUAAAACUGGAUAUUCUACCCUCUAAACUUUCAAAACUGGUCAAAUAAUCCCUUCAGUUUUGUUGGACUCCCGAUGAGUAGAUCUACAAAGUGAAUAUAUAACAUGGUAUACUUUGGUAUAAAGUUUUUGCUGUAGCUUUAAAUCUAUGUUUUUCUAUAAUUAAUUCGAAUAAUUCAUAUAUAUAGUUCCUUUGGUUCAAUUGUCGUAAAAUUUUUAUGGUGGACUCAUUAAUGUAUACUUGAACUACAGUAAAAGUUUCAUAGUCAUUGGAUCAUGUAUAACUUGAUUCUACAAAAUAUUUGGAGAUACAAAUGUUGCUAAUAUUUAUUCUACAAAUCUUGUCAGAUGUAACAAAGCUAACAAACACGCAUGCCAUAGUCACACUCAUGAUAGGGGGGUAUACCUGUAACCAUGGGCAGAUUUAGGGGUAUUCCCCUUAUUCCCGGGAAUACCCAACUAUUUUGGUACUUUUAUGUAAAUAUGUAUAUGUAUAUAUAUAUAUAUAUAGUGCUAUAAUAUAUAGUAUUUUCGCACUUGUGAGCUCAAAACAUGUAAAAAAAAUUGGCAUUUCAAUUAGAAAUCUAUAUUCUAUAAAGCAAAUUUUGGUUUAAAGUUGCUGACUUGUAGUGCAAUUAGCUAUAUUUUAAGCCUAUAAAUUUGAUUUUGUGGAAGUGGGAAUACCCAAGUUUCAAAUCCUAACUCCGCCACUUCCUGUAACUCCUAUUAAGUAUGUGGUAGCCUGUACGUAUUCAUAUGCUCAAGUACGACAAGAAUAUAUAACCAGAACAUGCGUGCACACUGUGAAAUAAAUCGCAAACCAAACUUGAUUGGAACUUAGCACCCACAUACAAGUGAUCGCUGGCUUUUUUACAACAAAUGGAAAAAAUACAAAAGUGACAGCAUGGCCGGCCAUGCGUGCGUGCAGGCAUGCAUGUAUGGUGACUGCUGUACUAUGUGGAAAAGCAAUCAAAUAACAACGCAUCAUUUAAAUCGAGCUAAAAUUAAAAGACAAGAUGUCUCAUAUGUAUGUGCGUCGGCCCAUGCAUUGCAUGGCAUGCGCUCAUUAGCACAUGAAGCCGGUGGGCACGGUCUUGCCGCAGUAGUUGAGGAUGAGGCUGAGAUCGAGUGGCACGUUGAGGUUGAUGCCGAGGACGUUGGCCUUGAUGGCGGUGCAGAGACAGACGGCGGCCUCCAGGUCGACGAGCCCCGCCAGCAGCGGGCAGCAUGGCUCCGCGGGCGGCACGCCGACCUGAGCCUUGAUCAGGCCCAGCACGUUGGCGCACACGCCCAGCUUCAACGCGUCCCUGGGGCACGAGCCGGACGACGACGACGAUGGCGUGGGUGUCGUCGGGCUGUUGGGCGCACAGGCGCUGGCUACGCCCAGCACAACUAGGUUCACGGCCAGGAACAGCGCGAACGCCUUGGACGUCAUUACUGCUCGAUCACAAGCCAGCUACCAAGCUCGCGGAUCACUCUAGAGCUAAUGUAGUUAGGGAGCUCUUGACAAGUGAUUAGCAGCUUGUUUGCGAUUCUUUGAUCAUGGGGUGUUACCAGGGGUACUUAUAGUCCAGCCUCGGGAUUAAGAAAUUAGCGCACUACUAGGCACGAUAGUGUUGUUCAUAUGAACCCGACCAUCAUAUUCGAAUACAUAUGCAGGUAAACCCGGCCGGUGAGGAAGAGUUCGUUCUGAAUUAUUUGCCUAUAUUGUAUAACUAGUGUUAUCCAUGAUACGGUAUCAAAUAUUUUGUGCACGGCUUCGGUUGGCUCCGCAAAUGGCCAGCUCGUAUACUAGCAUUUGUUUUCGUAUGAUCAUUAGGUGUCAUUUCAGCUCGGGAUCCUGCCGUAUCCGAAGGAGUGGUGCGCAGGACAUUGGAUGUCAAGCUAGCAAAGCAGCUGGUGAUUAAGAAUGAAUGCGUGGCGUGGCGCGUGGUCAUUAAGAAUGGGUGGGCAGGAACCAAGGCUACCUAGAGGAAUAGCAUGGUCCUGGUAUACAAAUUAAACUAGCUGGAUUGAAUGAAGUUUCAAUACUACAGAUUCAGUUAUCACUGCCGGCCUCAUCAUUUAUGGAAUUAGGAGAACCGGUAGUGAUGGCCCUUUACUUCCGGUUCUAGGCCCUGACAACCAAAAAAUGCUUGGGGGUGUGACAGAACCGGCAGUGAUGACAACUGUCAUUGUCGGUUUGCAUCUCUAACCAGCAGUGACUUGACGGCCACUAGCCAAGAACCGAUGGUGAGAUGGCAGAAGAAUAACGCCAGUGGCGGAUCUAGAGAAAUUUGGAGGGGGUAUGAUCAUAAAUAAUGCACCUAGCAACCGAUCACAUGUUUAUUUUUCUAUGGCGUGGUGUGUUGCCACUUGCCACCGAUCACAAGUUUUUUAGACCAUAAUAGGAGUUUGCUAAAAAAAAAUUUUUUUCUUUUGCACGGUGAUCCAAUAUAUUAUUAGAAUGAAUGCCUCAUAAUAUAUAAAAGAGCUGUGAAGUUGCGGUCAUGCUUGUAGUUUUUCUUCCGCGUCUUUUAGGGAUGGUGCUUGUACCAAUUUUGGUGCUUCCCCCAAACUAAUAUAUAUAUUACUUUUUAUAAAUUAAUUCUACAUCAUUUUCUAGCUCCAUCGGUUGUCCCAUAUUAAAAUCACGAAAUGGAUCUCUUUGGAUGGAAAGUGGGCUGAGCAAACAAGCAACAGAAACCAAUUUAUUUCCUUCAUCUUUUUUCAUAAAUAUCAAUUAUGAAACAUCAGAGAAAGAAAAAAGUCUAAUCCUAGAAUUUGGACAAACUAGUAAGAAGGAAAGAACCACAAAAUUAAAGACAAUUUGGAUGCUCAUAAGACCGAAAUUGGAAGAAUAGAGAACCUUGAAAGUUGCUUACUUUGACUUUUGAAUGAUGAACAUAAUAUUGAAGAUCAUAGCCAGGGCAACGGGGCGAACUAUGAUGUGCUCUUGGUGCCCUUGACCCUAAGGCUACAAGCUUGGACAGAGCACAACAAUGCCCAUGGCCAAUCGGCCAUGGUCGACGACCAGUGGUAGUAGGUCACCAUCCACCGGAGUUCACGCUGUCGCCAAGGGGAGGCGAUGCGUCGGCAGUUUUUGUAACACCAAAAAAUUUGUUUUUGAAUUAAUAGGAUUUAAUGAGAAUUAUUUAAGCAAUUUUUGUGGGCAUUUAAUCUAGUAAAUAAAAUAUUUUUGUCAAAAUUAAAAUUUAUUAUAAGUUUAGAAACUUGAAUCUUGCAUUCAUGCUGGAUCAUAGUAUUUUUUGUGUGUUGUUCCUGUUUUUAUUUUAUUGUUUGUGCUUUCAAAAUGCUAUUUGGAAAAGGUUUUGGAAAAGAAAACAUAAAAGAAAUUGAAAAAAAAGAGAAAGGGGGAAGCCCUCCCUGUCGGCCUGGCGGCCCAGCCAGCGCCUGGCUUUCUCCCCCCAACCCGCGGCCCAGCUUACGGCCCAGGGCGAGCAGGCGCGCCCCACUUCCCUCCCUCUCCCUCCUUUCUGCGGCUGACGACACGGGCCCACGCGUCAGCGCCUAUCUCCUUCUUCCCAGCGUGGACGAGCCGGUUUCGGCCGGGAGACUCUCCAGCGCCGAACCGAAUCCGGGGAAGCGGGAUUUCCUUGCCAAUUUGGCUAAACUGCGCCCUUUUAAGCCCCUGCGCACCGCGGCGAGUUCUCAUCUGCAUCCUAAUCGCGAAACCGAGCCCUAGCCGCCCUAAACCACGCGAAUUGGAUCUCGCCGACAGCCGCGCACAUCCUUCACCGUGACGAGCACUAUCCCCUUCCAAUCAGCGCGAACCGAGCGUCUAGGUGAGUUCGCGUGAAGCUUCUCCGCGUCCCGGUGUUUUUCUUUCUUGAAACGGUGCUCGGAAACGAGAAGUCCGCGGACGCCGGCGAGCUCGACCUCCCUGUCCAUGGCGACCACCGCGCCAGAGAGGAGGCAGACGGCCGGCCGUCGCCUGGCCCCUCCCUGGUGGCCUGGGGACCGUCCAUCUGAAGAUCAAGAGCCCAGAUUAAAACAUACCCCUUCGCCAGGAAAAAUUGUUAAAGAGCCUCUGGAGUUUUUGCUAUUCAACUCGCCAUCCUUUACAUAUUUCGAGUUUACGUUUCCUUUCAGAAAGCGUAUUCUGGUCGGCUGAAUCUAAAAUACGUUUUCAGUUAUUUCAGUUAAUUACAGAAUGCCACUGGAUUUGUUUUGCUUAUAAAAUAUUCAUAUUAACUCCGUUUUUGUCCAUUCAAAUUCCGUUAGAUUCGUAAUUACAUGCUCUACAUGUUAGAAAUGUUAGUUUACUGUUUUGGAACCUUUUAAUUUCCUGGUACUAUUUAAUUAAUUAUUUCUCUAUAGGAAAUCUUAGAAAAUUCAUAUCUUUCACGUUUUAAUUCCGAUUUUCGUGAACUUUACGUUUAUGUGAUCAUAGCGCUGCGUAGAAUAUUUUGAUAAGCUUUUAUAUUUGUUUUACUACUGUUUGGUGUAUUGUUCUAAUAAUAGCUUGUUUGCUUCGUGUAUGAUUGUCUACAUUGGAUUGCGUGUUGUUGAUUGAUGAUUGGGAAUAGACGGUGAGCCGUACGUUGGUGAUCAAGACCAAGCUUUUGAAGACCAGCAAGCUCAGAAGAGCUUUGAGCAAGGCAAGUAUAACUUGGGAUCAUCCUUGUUACCUAUUCACUUAUGACUACACAUAUAUAUCAUAUGCAUGCUAUCACCUUGUCGACCUUAGCAAAAUCAUAGAUGUUUGUUACCUGUAUUCCUUGUUACCUACUUGAUAUGCAUUUGGUGUAGAUGUGCUAGUGCUUGAUAUAAUCUAUGAUCUUGUAAGAUAAUUAAUAGCUAUGCAAUGAACGUUAAAAGAUGACAAAUAACUAUAUGAGAUCUUGUCUGUAAGUGAUCACCGGGACAACAGUGCAACCAUGAGGGCUAUAAUGGCUCUGGCUUUAGCUCAGUAUGAAGACUUUUCUAGCUUGUUAGAGGUUACCCGAAAGGGCGGAGGGGCUGAACCGUUUUGGGUAUAGUGCGAGCCCCUGUCCCUAUGUGUAUAGGCUGCGCGUCAUUGUGCCAUUCGGAAAAGGGUAUCUAUAUCUGCGCGCAAAGGAAACCUUGCGGCCCUAACAUGUUAGACGAACUUUUGAAAGGCUUCAUAGUGAUCCCUGCCGACCUCCCUAGGAAGGGGGUUAAGAGAUUAGCUACCUCGGGCGAAAGGGUAAAUCAUGACUCAUGGGUAAAGAUGUACAAACUCUGCAGAGUGUAAAACUGGUAUACUAGCCGUGCUCACGGUUAUGAGCAGCCUUGGAGGUUCUUGCUGCGCCGACGAUGAGCUUAUUAAGUUGUUAUGUCCAUUUGAUUAUCGUUUAUGCUAUGAGAUUAAUUAUGCUUACACUUGAUCAUGUGAUUAAUGGAUUAUUUAUGCUACCUUGAUAUUUGCUAUCCAAUGAUUAAACAUGUUAUCCACUAUUAAAAGCUAAAUGCAGUCAAACCAGUGUCAGCUAUUUGAGCCUCAUGAACCCCUGGUUAUACUUGUUGAGUACGAUAUGUGCUCACUCUUGCAAUUUCCCAACACCUCAGGUUAUGUUAAUGAUGAUGCUUGGAAUGAGGAUUACCGUUAUGAGUACUAGGUUUGGAGUCAACCAGUCAACAGUGUCCCUGUGUGGAGCUUCCGUCGAGAGCGUUGUUUACUUUAUGCUAUCAUUUUUGUAUGAGACUAUGUGAUUUAUUAUGUUCCGCUAUGUAAUAAACACUGCAAUGGUACUUUUGAGAUUUGUCUACUUAUGUGUGCGACUGUUUCUGGGACACAUAUGAGUCUUUUAUGCAUCCUAUUUUGUUCUUAAAAUAUGGGUGUGACAGUUUUGCCCGAGUUGAAGUGGCGUCCGAGUUGUCGAUGAUUCCAUGCGGACAGGGGCCUGGCUGAUAUUGGGCUAUGUGUUGAGGAGUUGUGGGCUGUUGUGGCCUCUCUCGAUCGACUCAGCAGAGUUGUGGGUGCAGAUGUUUGGAUUCAGGGGGUGCGAAUACCAUAGAAACAUGCAAAGUAUAGCAUAUUUUGUAUUUUUGUCUGGGUGUGGCCGCACCCAGUAGAUCCUAUAUGGAUCCGCCCAUGUAUAACGCACAUGGAGAAAAGACACAGGUGGCAAAGCAAGACAAGCAUGGCUGAGGGACAGAGGCGGCGAAGCGGUGUGCAUCAUCCAUGGGGACGGAAGAGUGAUGCAUUAGUGGCUCAUGCAUGGAUGAGGAAGAGAGGAGGCAGUUGAGUGGCUCUUAGUUCGCAGACGACUUAACUCCGGGUCUGUAUAGUUCAACUGUCACCAGAUAACUAUGAAAAAGCUCAUGUGAGCUAUGCGCUCUAGAAAAAUUAUAAGUUGUUUGGUUAAAGCAACUACAAAACCUAUUAGGGGUGGAUCUAGCACGUAGUCGAGCGGCGUCGAGCCCCUCUUACUGCCAUUGGAAAUGUAAAGCCUCUCCUAUAAGUUUGUAGCUAUUAAAGUUUAAAAGAAAUUGCUAAAUGCAAAAGAUAAGGAGGAUGAGCCCCUCAUACCUAUCCAAUCUAAUCUCUCUUGAAAUGAUUAUGAAAUGUUGCUAUAUUUCCACCCAUUUGGAAGUUGGAAUAACUGAAAGCAAGAAGUAGGGUUCAAGGUGGGAAAAUUAUACUGUGAAAGCAGUAGCUUCUAAAAAAAUAGCUUUAGAUGUUUUAUCGGUUAACACCACCACAAUAGCAAUUUUCCUAGGUGACCAUAAUUGGUUUUUGGAGUCGGGCAGCCAGUACGUCUGCCUCUGCUUCAACACCACUAUAAAUCAAGAUUUAUGCAGGCGGACACUUGCUUGUCUCUGUUAACAAAAUAAGAAAUGACAUGCGCAUCAAUGAGGUCCUCCAAGCCUAUCCACAAGGCCCACCGAGCCCAUUCACGUGCUACCAUUGUCGCCGGAUCCGCUCGUCGGAUCCACGCUCACUAGAGGAAGGGAGCCGCGUGCUACCGGCAGAGGGCCUGCGUGCCAUCGCCGAUGGCCCCAAACGCUGCGCUGGAGGAAGUGUGGAUCGCGCACCACUGCUAGUGGCCGCAUGCACUGCGCCACCGUCUGAUUUUUGUCCGACACCCCGCACCACCGUCUGACAAAUAGUAUCAUUCUCACCUUCUGAGAAGUUAAACAUUUUAAAUUUUGACUAAAUAUAUAUACAGAAAUAUUAGUAUUUAUGGUGUAAAAUUAGUAUCAUUAGAUAGAUCGGUAAAUAUAUUUUUAUUAUAAACUACGUGAAGAUGUAAAUAUUGAUAAUAUUUAUUUUACAUAAUUUGUCAGAUUCAAGAAAGCUUACCAACACACAUUCCUUCUCAGUGACACUCAAGAGAAUAAGUACGUGGUAGACAGUACGUUUUCAUAUGCUCAAGUACGACUAGAAUAUAACCAGAACAUGCAUGCGAAACUGUGAAAUAAAUCGCAAACCAAACUUGAUUGGAACUUAGCACCGGCAUACAAGUGAUCGCCGGCUUUUUUUCAACAAAUGAAAAAAAUACAAUUUGACAGCACGGCCGGCCAUGCGUGCAUGCAUGUAUGCUGACUAGUCGUACAUCAUACUACGUGGAAAAGCAAUCAAAUAACAACGCAUCAUUAAAACCGAGCUGAAAUUAAAAGACAAGAUGUCUCAAGGCGCUGAGAUCCAGGCGCUCAUCAGCACAUGAAGCCGGUGGGCACGGUCUUGCCGCAGUAGUUGAGGAUGAGGCUGAGAUCGAGUGGCACGUUGAGGUUGAUGCCGAGGACGUUGGCCUUGAUGGCGGUGCAGAGACAGACGGCGGCCUCCAGGUCGACGAGCCCCGCCAGCAGCGGGCAGCAUGGCUCCGCGGGCGGCACGCCGACCUGAGCCUUGAUCAGGCCCAGCACAUUGGCGCACACGCCCAGCUUCAACGCAUCCCUGGGGCACGAGCCGUUCGACGACGACGAUGGCGUGGGUGUCGUCGGGCUGUUGGGCGCACAGGCGCUGGCUACGCCCAGCACAACCAGGUUCACGGCCAGGAACAGCGCGAACGCCUUGGACGCCAUUAUUGCUCGAUCACACCAGCUCGCGGAUCACUCUAGAGCUAAUAUGGUCAGAGAGCUCUUGACAAGUGAUUAGCAGCUAGUUUGCGAUGCUUUGAUCACGGGGUGUUACCAGGGAUACUUAUAGUCCAGCCUUAGGAUUAAGAAAUCGGUGCACUACUAGGCACGAUAGUGUUCAAAUGAACCGAGUCAUCAUAUUCAAAUAUAUACAGGUGAACCCGACCGGUGAGGAAGAGUCCGUUCUAGAUUAUUGCCUACAUCGUAUAUUUAGUGUUUUCCGUGAUACGGUAUCAAAUAUUUUGUGCACGACGACUUCGGUUGGCUCCGCAAAUGGCCAGCUCGUAUACUAAUAUUUGUUUUCAUAUGAUCAUUAGGCAUCAUUUCAGCUGGGCAUCCUGGCGGAUCCGACGGAGUGGUGCCCAGGACAUUGGAUGUCAAGCUAGCGAAGCAGCUGGUGAUUAAGAAGGAAUGUGUGGCGUGGCGCGUGCUCAUUUAGAAUGGAUGCGCAAGAACCAAGGCCAGAGGAAUAGCAUGGUCCUGAUAUACAAAUUAAACUAGCACGAUUGGAAGAAGUUUCAAAGCCACGACAAAACUCUAUAAUUCUUAUGUUUUGGUGUAGCAUUGAAAUUAUUUUUUUAGAAACCACAUUGAAACGUAAAUGAAAAUUUCGGACACAACCUUUGGGUCUACAUUGCUUGAUCACUGGCCUAUCCAUCAACUUUAAUUUGAGCCACAUGGACCAACCUUCUUAGCUCGGAAAAGUAACACUGCUGCACAAAUGAUUUCACAAGAGGCACUGGUCCCCGAUUUCACAGUCAAGGUCUGGCGCCAUCUCCGUUCUCCCUACGUUCUUCCCCGGCUCGACCUUUUUCCUCGUCUCCAUCCACCACCAUCCUUGUUGUGAGCGCCUUCCCAUGCCGCCAUCCGAGGAGGGGCUCCCUUGCCACUACGUCGUCUUCCUCGUCUUCUUUGUCGGAUGCGCCUUCUAGGUAGACCCCUCACUAAAUCCUAGCUUGGUUGUGCCUGUUAUUGCCUAAGAUGUGCCAAAGAUGAAUUGAGCUGUGAUGUCAAUUUUCAAUGUUGCUUGUUAUGCUAUUUCCUAAUUAGUGCAGUUAUCAGCAUUGCAACUUUAUUGUACAGCAUCGACCGUGACGACUACAUAGACAACCGCUAUGGCAACUAGCGUCAGCUCUGGUGCCGCUGGGUAUGUUGUUGCAAACCGUCCUUUGUUUUCUAUGAUUAGAAUCAUGAUGAUUAGUAUCAUGUACACACAUGCACAUGUCAUUAGUAUCAUGUACACACAUGCACAUGUCAGAUGUCACAAAACAUGUUAUUCAGAAUUUUCUAUAUUAAACCGGUACUUAAUUUGCAUUAAAUUUAACGGCUGUAAUGGUGAAUGAGUUCAUCGCCCGCUAGUUUUACGUCUUUUUUCAUUGCUGUCAGAAUGUGCUUCAAAUAUCUUUGGCAGAGAGACUGAGAGAGAGAGAGAGUUAGCUAGUUUUUGAAUUGCCAUGGACCCAAUUCCAAGGAUCCUGGACCAUGAAUGGAUUAUUUACCAUUAUACCAUUGGGAUUAGGAUAUAUAGUUGGGUCCAUGCAUGCUUGAUUAAUUUAUUAGUGCAGACACCAAAAACUAUCCUUUUUAUCACUACUUUCUUUAUAAUAUACACCAAAAAUUCUUUACUAAAUCUACUUCCCUCGAUCACAAACACGGUCAUGCCUAAUCUAAGUUCUAUAGCCUUUCUCUUCCUCACUGAAAAUCAACGCCAAAGUCAUCUGGAUCAUGCACAUCAUUGACAUCAGUUGUGUCUUCAAACUUUUUGUGAAAGUUACCCGCUAAAAGGUUUUUGUUUGGUUUUGGUAAUUGAACAACUUAGCUGGACUAAUAGUUUUUAUGUGAGAUACACAGGAGAUUAGUCCAUAGGUGAAUAUGUAAUGAUGGAGAAGCUCAUUGCAUAUGAGAUAUGACAUGGAGUCAUGUGACCAAGAUGGAGAAGAUCUAGAUAAGGCUUGGCUUGAUGGACUGAUUGCAUGUGUGAAGGGCAAGUCGGAGGCUUUGAAGCGAGGGACCGCGUGUGACAGCGAAGCUUGAGCAAGACUUGGCAGCGUUGGAUGCUAGACCUGCGUCCGACAAUGUGGGAUAGAGUUGCACGGUGCAUUGGCGCGUCCGAAGGUUUUGCGUCGGACGCUGAUCGAGUACUAUUAAGCGUCCAACGCACGCAGCGUUUUGCGAGGUGUACGUGUAGCACGCUGGCGCGCGUCCGAUGAUCACCCGUUAGUGCGUGCGUGCAUGCAUGCAUGCAUGCUGACUAGUCGUACGUCGUACCACGUGGAAAAGCAAUCAAAUAACAACACAUAAUUCAAAAGAAAAAGUCUAUAUAACCCUCAAACUGGGGUGGACUACUUCACCCUCCAAACUAUAAAACUGGAUAUUCUACCCUCUAAACUUUCAAAACUGGUCAAAUAAUCCCUUCAGUUUUGUUGGACUCCCGAUGAGUAGAUCUACAAAGUGAAUAUAUAACAUGGUAUACUUUGGUAUAAAGUUUUUGCUGUAGCUUUAAAUCUAUGUUUUUCUAUAAUUAAUUCGAAUAAUUCAUAUAUAUAGUUCCUUUGGUUCAAUUGUCGUAAAAUUUUUAUGGUGGACUCAUUAAUGUAUACUUGAACUACAGUAAAAGUUUCAUAGUCAUUGGAUCAUGUAUAACUUGAUUCUACAAAAUAUUUGGAGAUACAAAUGUUGCUAAUAUUUAUUCUACAAAUCUUGUCAGAUGUAACAAAGCUAACAAACACGCAUGCCAUAGUCACACUCAUGAUAGGGGGGUAUACCUGUAACCAUGGGCAGAUUUAGGGGUAUUCCCCUUAUUCCCGGGAAUACCCAACUAUUUUGGUACUUUUAUGUAAAUAUGUAUAUGUAUAUAUAUAUAUAUAUAUAGUGCUAUAAUAUAUAGUAUUUUCGCACUUGUGAGCUCAAAACAUGUAAAAAAAAUUGGCAUUUCAAUUAGAAAUCUAUAUUCUAUAAAGCAAAUUUUGAUUUAAAGUUGCUGACUUGUAGUGCAAUUAGCUAUAUUUUAAGCCUAUAAAUUUGAUUUUGUGGAAGUGGGAAUACCCAAGUUUCAAAUGCUAACUCCGCCACUUCCUGUAACUCCUAUUAAGUAUGUGGUAGCCUGUACGUAUUCAUAUGCUCAAGUACGACAAGAAUAUAUAACCAGAACAUGCGUGCACACUGUGAAAUAAAUCGCAAACCAAACUUGAUUGGAACUUAGCACCCACAUACAAGUGAUCGCUGGCUUUUUUACAACAAAUGGAAAAAAUACAAAAGUGACAGCAUGGCCGGCCAUGCGUGCGUGCAGGCAUGCAUGUAUGGUGACUGCUGUACUAUGUGGAAAAGCAAUCAAAUAACAACGCAUCAUUUAAAUCGAGCUAAAAUUAAAAGACAAGAUGUCUCAUAUGUAUGUGCGUCGGCCCAUGCAUUGCAUGGCAUGCGCUCAUUAGCACAUGAAGCCGGUGGGCACGGUCUUGCCGCAGUAGUUGAGGAUGAGGCUGAGAUCGAGUGGCACGUUGAGGUUGAUGCCGAGGACGUUGGCCUUGAUGGCGGUGCAGAGACAGACGGCGGCCUCCAGGUCGACGAGCCCCGCCAGCAGCGGGCAGCAUGGCUCCGCGGGCGGCACGCCGACCUGAGCCUUGAUCAGGCCCAGCACGUUGGCGCACACGCCCAGCUUCAACGCGUCCCUGGGGCACGAGCCGGACGACGACGACGAUGGCGUGGGUGUCGUCGGGCUGUUGGGCGCACAGGCGCUGGCUACGCCCAGCACAACUAGGUUCACGGCCAGGAACAGCGCGAACGCCUUGGACGUCAUUACUGCUCGAUCACAAGCCAGCUACCAAGCUCGCGGAUCACUCUAGAGCUAAUGUAGUUAGGGAGCUCUUGACAAGUGAUUAGCAGCUUGUUUGCGAUUCUUUGAUCAUGGGGUGUUACCAGGGGUACUUAUAGUCCAGCCUCGGGAUUAAGAAAUUAGCGCACUACUAGGCACGAUAGUGUUGUUCAUAUGAACCCGACCAUCAUAUUCGAAUACAUAUGCAGGUAAACCCGGCCGGUGAGGAAGAGUUCGUUCUGAAUUAUUUGCCUAUAUUGUAUAACUAGUGUUAUCCAUGAUACGGUAUCAAAUAUUUUGUGCACGGCUUCGGUUGGCUCCGCAAAUGGCCAGCUCGUAUACUAGCAUUUGUUUUCGUAUGAUCAUUAGGUGUCAUUUCAGCUCGGGAUCCUGCCGUAUCCGAAGGAGUGGUGCGCAGGACAUUGGAUGUCAAGCUAGCAAAGCAGCUGGUGAUUAAGAAUGAAUGCGUGGCGUGGCGCGUGGUCAUUAAGAAUGGGUGCGCAGGAACCAAGGCUACCUAGAGGAAUAGCAUGGUGCUGGUAUACAAAUUGAACUAGCUGGAUUGGAUGAAGUUUCACUACUACAGAUUCAGUCAUCACUGCCGGCCUCAUCAUUGAUGGAAUUAGGAGCACAGGUAGUGAUGCCCCUUUACUUCCGUUUCUAGGCCCUGACAACCAAAAAAUGCUUGGGGGUACCGGUGUGACAGAACCGGCAGUGAUGACAACUAUCAUUGUCGGUUUGCAUCUCAUAUCAGCAGUGACUUGACGGCCACUAGCCAAGAACCGAUGGUGAGAUGACAGAAGAAUAACGCCACUGGCAGAUCUAGAGAAAUUUAGAGGGGGUGUGAUCAUAAAUAAUGCACCUAGCCACCGAUCACAUGUUUAUUUUCCUAUGGCGUGGUGUGUUGCCACUUGCCACCGAUCACAAGUUUUUUAGACCAUAAUAGGAGUUUGCUAAAAAAAUAUUUUUUUCUUUUGCACGGUGAUCCAAUAUAUUAUUAGAAUGAAUGUCUCAUAAUAUAUAAAAGAGCUGUGAAGUUGCGGUCAUGCUUGUAGUUUUUCUUCCGCGUCUUUUAGGGAUGGUGCUUAUACCAAUUUUGGUGCCUCGCCCAAACUAAUAUAUGCAUUACUUUUUAUAUAUUAAUUCUACAUCAUUUUCUAGCUCCAUCGAUUGACCCAUAUUAAAAUCACGAAAUGGAUCUCUUUGGAUGGAAAGUGGGCUGAGCAAUCAAGCAACAGAAACCAAUUUAUUUGCUUCAUCUUUUUCAUAAAUAUCAAUUAUCAAACAUUAGAGAAAGAAAAAAGUCUAGUCCUAGAAUUUGGACAAACUAGUAAGAAGGAAAGAACCACAAAAUGAAAGACAAUUUGGAUGCUCAUAAGACCGAAAUUGGAAGAAUAGAGAACCUUGGAAGUUACUUACUUUGACUUUUGAAUGAUGAACAUAAUAUUGAAGAUCAUAGCCAGGGCAACGGGGCGAACUAUGAUGUGCUCUUGGUGCCCUUGACCCUAAGGCUACAAGCUUGGACAGAGCACAACAAUGCCCAUGGCCAAUCGGCCAUGGUCGACGACCAGUGGUAGUAGGUCACCAUCCACCGGAGUUCACGCUGUCGCCAAGGGGAGGCGAUGCGUCGGCAGUUUUUGUAACACCCAAAAAUUUGUUUUUGAAUUAAUAGGAUUUAAUGAGAAUUAUUUAAGCAAUUUUUGUGGGCAUUUAAUCUAGUAAAUAAAAUAUUUUUGUCAAAAUUAAAAUUUAUUAUAAGUUUAGAAACUUGAAUCUUGCAUUCAUGCUGGAUCAUAGUAUUUUUUGUGUGUUGUUCCUGUUUUUAUUUUAUUGUUUGUGCUUUCAAAAUGCUAUUUGGAAAAGGUUUUGGAAAAGAAAACAUAAAAGAAAUUGAAAAAAAAAGAGAAAGGGGGAAGCCCUCCCUGUCGGCCUGGCGGCCAGCCAGCGCCUGGCUUUCUCCCCCCAACCCGCGGCCCAGCUUACGGCCCAGGGCGAGCAGGCGCGCCCCACUUCCCUCCCUCUCCCUCCUUUCUGCGGCUGACGACACGGGCCCACGCGUCAGCGCCUAUCUCCUUCUUCCCAGCGUCAACGAGCCGGUUUCGGCCGGGAGACUCUCCAGCGCCGAACCGAAUCCGGGGAAGCGGGAUUUCCUUGCCAAUUUGGCUAAACUGCGCCCUUUUAAGCCCCUGCGCACCGCGGCGAGUUCUCAUCUGCAUCCUAAUCGCGAAACCGAGCCCUAGCCGCCCUAAACCACGCGAAUUGGAUCUCGCCGACAGCCGCGCACAUCCUUCACCGUGACGAGCACUAUCCCCUUCCAAUCAGCGCGAACCGAGCGUCUAGGUGAGUUCGCGUGAAGCUUCUCCGCGUCCCGGUGUUUUUCUUUCUUGAAACGGUGCUCGGAAACGAGAAGUCCGCGGACGCCGGCGAGCUCGACCUCCCUGUCCAUGGCGACCACCGCACCAGAGAGGAGGCAGACGGCCGGCCGUCGCCUGGCCCCUCCCUGGUGGCCUGGGGACCGUCCAUCUGAAGAUCAAGGGCCCAGAUUAAAACAUACCCCUUCGCCAGGAAAAAUUGUUAAAGAGCCUCUGGAGUUUUUGCUAUUCAACUCGUCAUCCUUUACGUAUUUCAAGUUUACGUUUCCUUUCAGAAAGCGUAUUCUGGUCGGCUGAAUCUAAAAUACGUUUUCAGUUAUUUCAGUUAAUUACAGAAUGCCACUGGAUUUGUUUUGCUUAUAAAAUAUUCAUAUUAACUCCGUUUUUGUCCAUUCAAAUUCCGUUAGAUUCGUAAUUACAUGCUCUACAUGUUAGAAAUGUUAGUUUACUGUUUUGGAACCUUUUAAUUUCCUGGUACUAUUUAAUUAAUUAUUUCUCUAUAGGAAAUCUUAGAAAAUUCAUAUCUUUCACGUUUUAAUUCCGAUUUUCGUGAACUUUACGUUUAUGUGAUCAUAGCGCUGCGUAGAAUAUUUUGAUAAGCUUUUAUAUUUGUUUUACUACUGUUUGGUGUAUUGUUCUAAUAAUAGCUUGUUUGCUUCGUGUAUGAUUGUCUACAUUGGAUUGCGUGUUGUUGAUUGAUGAUUGGGAAUAGACGGUGAGCCGUACGUUGGUGAUCAAGACCAAGCUUUUGAAGACCAGCAAGCUCAGAAGAGCUUUGAGCAAGGCAAGUAUAACUUGGGAUCAUCCUUGUUACCUAUUCACUUAUAACUACACAUAUAUAUCAUAUGCAUGCUAUCACCUUGUCGACCUUAGCAAAAUCAUAGAUGUUUGUUACCUGUAUUCCUUGUUACCUACUUGAUAUGCAUUUGGUGUAGAUGUGCUAGUGCUUGAUAUAAUCUAUGAUCUUGUAAGAUAAUUAAUAGCUAUGCAAUGAACGUUAAAAGAUGACAAAUAACUAUAUGAGAUCUUGUCUGUAAGUGAUCACCGGGACAACAGUGCAACCAUGAGGGCUAUAAUGGCUCUGGCUUUAGCUCAGUAUGAAGACUUUUCUAGCUUGUUAGAGGUUACCCGAAAGGGCGGAGGGGCUGAACCGUUUUGGGUAUAGUGCGAGCCCCUGUCCCUAUGUGUAUAGGCUGCGCGUCAUUGUGCCAUUCGGAAAAGGGUAUCUAUAUCUGCGCGCAAAGGAAACCUUGCGGCCCUAACAUGUUAGACGAACUUUUGAAAGGCUUCAUAGUGAUCCCUGCCGACCUCCCUAGGAAGGGGGUUAAGAGAUUAGCUACCUCGGGCGAAAGGGUAAAUCAUGACUCAUGGGUAAAGAUGUACAAACUCUGCAGAGUGUAAAACUGGUAUACUAGCCGUGCUCACGGUUAUGAGCAGCCUUGGAGGUUCUUGCUGCGCCGACGAUGAGCUUAUUAAGUUGUUAUGUCCAUUUGAUUAUCGUUUAUGCUAUGAGAUUAAUUAUGCUUACACUUGAUCAUGUGAUUAAUGGAUUAUUUAUGCUACCUUGAUAUUUGCUAUCCAAUGAUUAAACAUGUUAUCCACUAUUAAAAGCUAAAUGCAGUCAAACCAGUGUCAGCUAUUUGAGCCUCAUGAACCCCUGGUUAUACUUGUUGAGUACGAUAUGUGCUCACUCUUGCAAUUUCCCAACACCUUAGGUUAUGUUAAUGAUGAUGCUUGGAAUGAGGAUUACCGUUAUGAGUACUAGGUUUGGAGUCAACCAGUCAACAGUGUCCCUGUGUGGAGCUUCCGUCGAGAGCGUUGUUUACUUUAUGCUAUCAUUUUUGUAUGAGACUAUGUGAGUUCCGCUGUGUAAUAAACACUGCAAUGGUACUUUUGAGAUUUGUCUACUUAUGUGUGCGACUGUUUCUGGGACACAUAUGAGUCUUUUAUGCAUCCUAUUUUGUUCUUAAAAUAUGGGUGUGACAGUUUUGCCUGAGUUGAAGUGGCGUCCGAGUUGUCGAUGAUUCCAUGCGGACAGGGGCCUGGCUGAUAUUGGGCUAUGUGUUGAGGAGUUGUGGGCUGUUGUGGCCUCUCUCGAUCGACUCAGCAGAGUUGUGGGUGCAGAUGUUUGGAUUCAGGGGGUGCGAAUACCAUAGAAACAUGCAAAGUAUAGCAUAUUUUGUAUUUUUGUCUGGGUGUGGCCGCACCCAGUAGAUCCUAUAUGGAUCCGCCCAUGUAUAACGCACAUGGAGAAAAGACACAGGUGGCAAAGCAAGACAAGCAUGGCUGAGGGACAGAGGCGGCGAAGCGGUGUGCAUCAUCCAUGGGGACGGAAGAGUGAUGCAUUAGUGGCUCAUGCAUGGAUGAGGAAGAGAGGAGGCAGUUGAGUGGCUCUUAGUUCGCAGACGACUUAACUCCGGGUCUGUAUAGUUCAACUGUCACCAGAUAACUAUGAAAAAGCUCAUGUGAGCUAUGCGCUCUAGAAAAAUUAUAAGUUGUUUGGUUAAAGCAACUACAAAACCUAUUAGGGGUGGAUCUAGCACGUAGUCGAGCGGCGUCGAGCCCCUCUUACUGCCAUUGGAAAUGUAAAGCCUCUCCUAUAAGUUUGUAGCUAUUAAAGUUUAAAAGAAAUUGCUAAAUGCAAAAGAUAAGGAGGAUGAGCCCCUCAUACCUAUCCAAUCUAAUCUCUCUUGAAAUGAUUAUGAAAUGUUGCUAUAUUUCCACCCAUUUGGAAGUUGGAAUAACUGAAAGCAAGAAGUAGGGUUCAAGGUGUGAAAAUUAUACUAUGAAAGCAGUAGCUUCUAAAAAAAUAGCUUUAGAUGUUUUAUCGGUUAACACCACCACAAUAGCAAUUUUCCUAGGUGACCAUAAUUGGUUUUUGGAGUCGGGCAGCCAGUACGUCUGCCUCUCCUUCAACACCAGUAUAAAUCAAGAUUUAUGCAGGCGGACACUUGCUCAUCUGUGUUAACAAAAUAAGAAAUGGCAUGCGCAUCGAUGAGGCCCUCCAAGCCUAUCCACAAGGCCCGCCGAGCCCAUUCACGUGCUGCCAUUGUCGCUGGAUCCGCUCGUCGGAUCCACGCUCACUAGAGGAAGGGAGCAGCGUACUACCGACAUAGGGCCUGCGUGCCAUCGCCGAUUGCCCCAAACGCUGCGCUGGAGGAAGUGUGGAUCGCGCACCGCUGCUAGUGGCCGCAUGCACUGCGCCACCGUCUGAUUUUUGUCCGACACCCCGCACCACCGUCUGACAAAUAGUAUCAUUCUCACCUUCUGAGAAGUUAAACAUUUUAAAUUUUGACUAAAUAUAUAUACAGAAAUAUUAGUAUUUAUGGUGUAAAAUUAGUAUCAUUAGAUAGAUCGGUGAAUAUAUUUUUAUUAUAAACUACGUGAAGAUGUAAAUAUUGAUAAUAUUUAUUUUACAUAAUUUGUCAGAUUCAAGAAAGCUUACCAACACACAUUCCUUCUCAGUGACACUCAAGAGAAUAAGUACGUGGUAGACAGUACGUUUUCAUAUGCUCAAGUACGACUAGAAUAUAACCAGAACAUGCAUGCGAAACUGUGAAAUAAAUCGCAAACCAAACUUGAUUGGAACUUAGCACCGGCAUACAAGUGAUCGCCGGCUUUUUUUCAACAAAUGAAAAAAAUACAAUUUGACAGCACGGCCGGCCAUGCGUGCAUGCAUGUAUGUGACUAGUCGUACAUCAUACUACGUGGAAAAGCAAUCAAAUAACAACGCAUCAUUAAAACCGAGCUGAAAUUAAAAGACAAGAUGUCUCAAGGCGCUGAGAUCCAGGCGCUCAUCAGCACAUGAAGCCGGUGGGCACGGUCUUGCCGCAGUAGUUGAGGAUGAGGCUGAGAUCGAGUGGCACGUUGAGGUUGAUGCCGAGGACGUUGGCCUUGAUGGCGGUGCAGAGACAGACGGCGGCCUCCAGGUCGACGAGCCCCGCCAGCAGCGGGCAGCAUGGCUCCGCGGGCGGCACGCCGACCUGAGCCUUGAUCAGGCCCAGCACAUUGGCGCACACGCCCAGCUUCAACGCAUCCCUGGGGCACGAGCCGUUCGACGACGACGAUGGCGUGGGUGUCGUCGGGCUGUUGGGCGCACAGGCGCUGGCUACGCCCAGCACAACCAGGUUCACGGCCAGGAACAGCGCGAACGCCUUGGACGCCAUUAUUGCUCGAUCACACCAGCUCGCGGAUCACUCUAGAGCUAAUAUGGUCAGAGAGCUCUUGACAAGUGAUUAGCAGCUAGUUUGCGAUGCUUUGAUCACGGGGUGUUACCAGGGAUACUUAUAGUCCAGCCUUAGGAUUAAGAAAUCGGUGCACUACUAGGCACGAUAGUGUUCAAAUGAACCGAGUCAUCAUAUUCAAAUAUAUACAGGUGAACCCGACCGGUGAGGAAGAGUCCGUUCUAGAUUAUUGCCUACAUCGUAUAUUUAGUGUUUUCCGUGAUACGGUAUCAAAUAUUUUGUGCACGACGACUUCGGUUGGCUCCGCAAAUGGCCAGCUCGUAUACUAAUAUUUGUUUUCAUAUGAUCAUUAGGCAUCAUUUCAGCUGGGCAUCCUGGCGGAUCCGACGGAGUGGUGCCCAGGACAUUGGAUGUCAAGCUAGCGAAGCAGCUGGUGAUUAAGAAGGAAUGUGUGGCGUGGCGCGUGCUCAUUUAGAAUGGAUGCGCAAGAACCAAGGCCAGAGGAAUAGCAUGGUCCUGAUAUACAAAUUAAACUAGCACGAUUGGAAGAAGUUUCAAAGCCACGACAAAACUCUAUAAUUCUUAUGUUUUGGUGUAGCAUUGAAAUUAUUUUUUUAGAAACCACAUUGAAACGUAAAUGAAAAUUUCGGACACAACCUUUGGGUCUACAUUGCUUGAUCACUGGCCUAUCCAUCAACUUUAAUUUGAGCCACAUGGACCAACCUUCUUAGCUCGGAAAAGUAACACUGCUGCACAAAUGAUUUCACAAGAGGCACUGGUCCCCGAUUUCACAGUCAAGGUCUGGCGCCAUCUCCGUUCUCCCUACGUUCUUCCCCGGCUCGACCUUUUUCCUCGUCUCCAUCCACCACCAUCCUUGUUGUGAGCGCCUUCCCAUGCCGCCAUCCGAGGAGGGGCUCCCUUGCCACUACGUCGUCUUCCUCGUCUUCUUUGUCGGAUGCGCCUUCUAGGUAGACCCCUCACUAAAUCCUAGCUUGGUUGUGCCUGUUAUUGCCUAAGAUGUGCCAAAGAUGAAUUGAGCUGUGAUGUCAAUUUUCAAUGUUGCUUGUUAUGCUAUUUCCUAAUUAGUGCAGUUAUCAGCAUUGCAACUUUAUUGUACAGCAUCGACCGUGACGACUACAUAGACAACCGCUAUGGCAACUAGCGUCAGCUCUGGUGCCGCUGGGUAUGUUGUUGCAAACCGUCCUUUGUUUUCUAUGAUUAGAAUCAUGAUGAUUAGUAUCAUGUACACACAUGCACAUGUCAUUAGUAUCAUGUACACACAUGCACAUGUCAGAUGUCACAAAACAUGUUAUUCAGAAUUUUCUAUAUUAAACCGGUACUUAAUUUGCAUUAAAUUUAACGGCUGUAAUGGUGAAUGAGUUCAUCGCCCGCUAGUUUUACGUCUUUUUUCAUUGCUGUCAGAAUGUGCUUCAAAUAUCUUUGGCAGAGAGACUGAGAGAGAGAGAGAGUUAGCUAGUUUUUGAAUUGCCAUGGACCCAAUUCCAAGGAUCCUGGACCAUGAAUGGAUUAUUUACCAUUAUACCAUUGGGAUUAGGAUAUAUAGUUGGGUCCAUGCAUGCUUGAUUAAUUUAUUAGUGCAGACACCAAAAACUAUCCUUUUUAUCACUACUUUCUUUAUAAUAUACACCAAAAAUUCUUUACUAAAUCUACUUCCCUCGAUCACAAACACGGUCAUGCCUAAUCUAAGUUCUAUAGCCUUUCUCUUCCUCACUGAAAAUCAACGCCAAAGUCAUCUGGAUCAUGCACAUCAUUGACAUCAGUUGUGUCUUCAAACUUUUUGUGAAAGUUACCCGCUAAAAGGUUUUUGUUUGGUUUUGGUAAUUGAACAACUUAGCUGGACUAAUAGUUUUUAUGUGAGAUACACAGGAGAUUAGUCCAUAGGUGAAUAUGUAAUGAUGGAGAAGCUCAUUGCAUAUGAGAUAUGACAUGGAGUCAUGUGACCAAGAUGGAGAAGAUCUAGAUAAGGCUUGGCUUGACGGACUGAUUGCAUGUGUGAAGGGCAAGUCGGAGGCUUUGAAGCGAGGGACCGCGUGUGACAGCGAAGCUUGAGCAAGACUUGGCAGCGUUGGAUGCUAGACCUGCGUCCGACAAUGUGGGAUAGAGUUGCACGGUGCAUUGGCGCGUCCGAAGGUUUUGCGUCGGACGCUGAUCGAGUACUAUUAAGCGUCCAACGCACGCAGCGUUUUGCGAGGUGUACGUGUAGCACGCUGGCGCGCGUCCGAUGAUCACCCGUUAGUGCGUGCGUGCAUGCAUGCAUGCAUGCUGACUAGUCGUACGUCGUACCACGUGGAAAAGCAAUCAAAUAACAACACAUAAUUCAAAAGAAAAAGUCUAUAUAACCCUCAAACUGGGGUGGACUACUUCACCCUCCAAACUAUAAAACUGGAUAUUCUACCCUCUAAACUUUCAAAACUGGUCAAAUAAUCCCUUCAGUUUUGUUGGACUCCCGAUGAGUAGAUCUACAAAGUGAAUAUAUAACAUGGUAUACUUUGGUAUAAAGUUUUUGCUGUAGCUUUAAAUCUAUGUUUUUCUAUAAUUAAUUCGAAUAAUUCAUAUAUAUAGUUCCUUUGGUUCAAUUGUCGUAAAAUUUUUAUGGUGGACUCAUUAAUGUAUACUUGAACUACAGUAAAAGUUUCAUAGUCAUUGGAUCAUGUAUAACUUGAUUCUACAAAAUAUUUGGAGAUACAAAUGUUGCUAAUAUUUAUUCUACAAAUCUUGUCAGAUGUAACAAAGCUAACAAACACGCAUGCCAUAGUCACACUCAUGAUAGGGGGGUAUACCUGUAACCAUGGGCAGAUUUAGGGGUAUUCCCCUUAUUCCCGGGAAUACCCAACUAUUUUGGUACUUUUAUGUAAAUAUGUAUAUGUAUAUAUAUAUAUAUAUAUAGUGCUAUAAUAUAUAGUAUUUUCGCACUUGUGAGCUCAAAACAUGUAAAAAAAAUUGGCAUUUCAAUUAGAAAUCUAUAUUCUAUAAAGCAAAUUUUGAUUUAAAGUUGCUGACUUGUAGUGCAAUUAGCUAUAUUUUAAGCCUAUAAAUUUGAUUUUGUGGAAGUGGGAAUACCCAAGUUUCAAAUCCUAACUCCGCCACUUCCUGUAACUCCUAUUAAGUAUGUGGUAGCCUGUACGUAUUCAUAUGCUCAAGUACGACAAGAAUAUAUAACCAGAACAUGCGUGCACACUGUGAAAUAAAUCGCAAACCAAACUUGAUUGGAACUUAGCACCCACAUACAAGUGAUCGCUGGCUUUUUUACAACAAAUGGAAAAAAUACAAAAGUGACAGCAUGGCCGGCCAUGCGUGCGUGCAGGCAUGCAUGUAUGGUGACUGCUGUACUAUGUGGAAAAGCAAUCAAAUAACAACGCAUCAUUUAAAUCGAGCUAAAAUUAAAAGACAAGAUGUCUCAUAUGUAUGUGCGUCGGCCCAUGCAUUGCAUGGCAUGCGCUCAUUAGCACAUGAAGCCGGUGGGCACGGUCUUGCCGCAGUAGUUGAGGAUGAGGCUGAGAUCGAGUGGCACGUUGAGGUUGAUGCCGAGGACGUUGGCCUUGAUGGCGGUGCAGAGACAGACGGCGGCCUCCAGGUCGACGAGCCCCGCCAGCAGCGGGCAGCAUGGCUCCGCGGGCGGCACGCCGACCUGAGCCUUGAUCAGGCCCAGCACGUUGGCGCACACGCCCAGCUUCAACGCGUCCCUGGGGCACGAGCCGGACGACGACGACGAUGGCGUGGGUGUCGUCGGGCUGUUGGGCGCACAGGCGCUGGCUACGCCCAGCACAACUAGGUUCACGGCCAGGAACAGCGCGAACGCCUUGGACGUCAUUACUGCUCGAUCACAAGCCAGCUACCAAGCUCGCGGAUCACUCUAGAGCUAAUGUAGUUAGGGAGCUCUUGACAAGUGAUUAGCAGCUUGUUUGCGAUUCUUUGAUCAUGGGGUGUUACCAGGGGUACUUAUAGUCCAGCCUCGGGAUUAAGAAAUUAGCGCACUACUAGGCACGAUAGUGUUGUUCAUAUGAACCCGACCAUCAUAUUCGAAUACAUAUGCAGGUAAACCCGGCCGGUGAGGAAGAGUUCGUUCUGAAUUAUUUGCCUAUAUUGUAUAACUAGUGUUAUCCAUGAUACGGUAUCAAAUAUUUUGUGCACGGCUUCGGUUGGCUCCGCAAAUGGCCAGCUCGUAUACUAGCAUUUGUUUUCGUAUGAUCAUUAGGUGUCAUUUCAGCUCGGGAUCCUGCCGUAUCCGAAGGAGUGGUGCGCAGGACAUUGGAUGUCAAGCUAGCAAAGCAGCUGGUGAUUAAGAAUGAAUGCGUGGCGUGGCGCGUGGUCAUUAAGAAUGGGUGCGCAGGAACCAAGGCUACCUAGAGGAAUAGCAUGGUGCUGGUAUACAAAUUGAACUAGCUGGAUUGGAUGAAGUUUCACUACUACAGAUUCAGUCAUCACUGCCGGCCUCAUCAUUGAUGGAAUUAGGAGCACAGGUAGUGAUGCCCCUUUACUUCCGUUUCUAGGCCCUGACAACCAAAAAAUGCUUGGGGGUGUGACAGAACCGGCAGUGAUGACAACUAUCAUUGUCGGUUUGCAUCUCAUAUCAGCAGUGACUUGACGGCCACUAGCCAAGAACCGAUGGUGAGAUGGCAGAAGAAUAACGCCAGUGGCGGAUCUAGAGAAAUUUGGAGGGGGUAUGAUCAUAAAUAAUGCACCUAGCAACCGAUCACAUGUUUAUUUUUCUAUGGCGUGGUGUGUUACCACUUGCCACCGAUCACAAGUUUUUUAGACCAUAAUAGGAGUUUGCUAAAAAAAUAUUUUUUUCUUUUGCACGGUGAUCCAAUAUAUUAUUAGAAUGAAUGUCUCAUAAUAUAUAAAAGAGCUGUGAAGUUGCGGUCAUGCUUGUAGUUUUUCUUCCGCGUCUUUUAGGGAUGGUGCUUAUACCAAUUUUGGUGCCUCGCCCAAACUAAUAUAUGCAUUACUUUUUAUAUAUUAAUUCUACAUCAUUUUCUAGCUCCAUCGAUUGACCCAUAUUAAAAUCACGAAAUGGAUCUCUUUGGAUGGAAAGUGGGCUGAGCAAUCAAGCAACAGAAACCAAUUUAUUUGCUUCAUCUUUUUCAUAAAUAUCAAUUAUCAAACAUUAGAGAAAGAAAAAAGUCUAGUCCUAGAAUUUGGACAAACUAGUAAGAAGGAAAGAACCACAAAAUGAAAGACAAUUUGGAUGCUCAUAAGACCGAAAUUGGAAGAAUAGAGAACCUUGGAAGUUACUUACUUUGACUUUUGAAUGAUGAACAUAAUAUUGAAGAUCAUAGCCAGGGCAACGGGGCGAACUAUGAUGUGCUCUUGGUGCCCUUGACCCUAAGGCUACAAGCUUGGACAGAGCACAACAAUGCCCAUGGCCAAUCGGCCAUGGUCGACGACCAGUGGUAGUAGGUCACCAUCCACCGGAGUUCACGCUGUCGCCAAGGGGAGGCGAUGCGUCGGCAGUUUUUGUAACACCCAAAAAUUUGUUUUUGAAUUAAUAGGAUUUAAUGAGAAUUAUUUAAGCAAUUUUUGUGGGCAUUUAAUCUAGUAAAUAAAAUAUUUUUGUCAAAAUUAAAAUUUAUUAUAAGUUUAGAAACUUGAAUCUUGCAUUCAUGCUGGAUCAUAGUAUUUUUUGUGUGUUGUUCCUGUUUUUAUUUUAUUGUUUGUGCUUUCAAAAUGCUAUUUGGAAAAGGUUUUGGAAAAGAAAACAUAAAAGAAAUUGAAAAAAAAGAGAAAGGGGGAAGCCCUCCCUGUCGGCCUGGCGGCCAGCCAGCGCCUGGCUUUCUCCCCCCAACCCGCGGCCCAGCUUACGGCCCAGGGCGAGCAGGCGCGCCCCACUUCCCUCCCUCUCCCUCCUUUCUGCGGCUGACGACACGGGCCCACGCGUCAGCGCCUAUCUCCUUCUUCCCAGCGUCAACGAGCCGGUUUCGGCCGGGAGACUCUCCAGCGCCGAACCGAAUCCGGGGAAGCGGGAUUUCCUUGCCAAUUUGGCUAAACUGCGCCCUUUUAAGCCCCUGCGCACCGCGGCGAGUUCUCAUCUGCAUCCUAAUCGCGAAACCGAGCCCUAGCCGCCCUAAACCACGCGAAUUGGAUCUCGCCGACAGCCGCGCACAUCCUUCACCGUGACGAGCACUAUCCCCUUCCAAUCAGCGCGAACCGAGCGUCUAGGUGAGUUCGCGUGAAGCUUCUCCGCGUCCCGGUGUUUUUCUUUCUUGAAACGGUGCUCGGAAACGAGAAGUCCGCGGACGCCGGCGAGCUCGACCUCCCUGUCCAUGGCGACCACCGCACCAGAGAGGAGGCAGACGGCCGGCCGUCGCCUGGCCCCUCCCUGGUGGCCUGGGGACCGUCCAUCUGAAGAUCAAGGGCCCAGAUUAAAACAUACCCCUUCGCCAGGAAAAAUUGUUAAAGAGCCUCUGGAGUUUUUGCUAUUCAACUCGUCAUCCUUUACGUAUUUCAAGUUUACGUUUCCUUUCAGAAAGCGUAUUCUGGUCGGCUGAAUCUAAAAUACGUUUUCAGUUAUUUCAGUUAAUUACAGAAUGCCACUGGAUUUGUUUUGCUUAUAAAAUAUUCAUAUUAACUCCGUUUUUGUCCAUUCAAAUUCCGUUAGAUUCGUAAUUACAUGCUCUACAUGUUAGAAAUGUUAGUUUACUGUUUUGGAACCUUUUAAUUUCCUGGUACUAUUUAAUUAAUUAUUUCUCUAUAGGAAAUCUUAGAAAAUUCAUAUCUUUCACGUUUUAAUUCCGAUUUUCGUGAACUUUACGUUUAUGUGAUCAUAGCGCUGCGUAGAAUAUUUUGAUAAGCUUUUAUAUUUGUUUUACUACUGUUUGGUGUAUUGUUCUAAUAAUAGCUUGUUUGCUUCGUGUAUGAUUGUCUACAUUGGAUUGCGUGUUGUUGAUUGAUGAUUGGGAAUAGACGGUGAGCCGUACGUUGGUGAUCAAGACCAAGCUUUUGAAGACCAGCAAGCUCAGAAGAGCUUUGAGCAAGGCAAGUAUAACUUGGGAUCAUCCUUGUUACCUAUUCACUUAUAACUACACAUAUAUAUCAUAUGCAUGCUAUCACCUUGUCGACCUUAGCAAAAUCAUAGAUGUUUGUUACCUGUAUUCCUUGUUACCUACUUGAUAUGCAUUUGGUGUAGAUGUGCUAGUGCUUGAUAUAAUCUAUGAUCUUGUAAGAUAAUUAAUAGCUAUGCAAUGAACGUUAAAAGAUGACAAAUAACUAUAUGAGAUCUUGUCUGUAAGUGAUCACCGGGACAACAGUGCAACCAUGAGGGCUAUAAUGGCUCUGGCUUUAGCUCAGUAUGAAGACUUUUCUAGCUUGUUAGAGGUUACCCGAAAGGGCGGAGGGGCUGAACCGUUUUGGGUAUAGUGCGAGCCCCUGUCCCUAUGUGUAUAGGCUGCGCGUCAUUGUGCCAUUCGGAAAAGGGUAUCUAUAUCUGCGCGCAAAGGAAACCUUGCGGCCCUAACAUGUUAGACGAACUUUUGAAAGGCUUCAUAGUGAUCCCUGCCGACCUCCCUAGGAAGGGGGUUAAGAGAUUAGCUACCUCGGGCGAAAGGGUAAAUCAUGACUCAUGGGUAAAGAUGUACAAACUCUGCAGAGUGUAAAACUGGUAUACUAGCCGUGCUCACGGUUAUGAGCAGCCUUGGAGGUUCUUGCUGCGCCGACGAUGAGCUUAUUAAGUUGUUAUGUCCAUUUGAUUAUCGUUUAUGCUAUGAGAUUAAUUAUGCUUACACUUGAUCAUGUGAUUAAUGGAUUAUUUAUGCUACCUUGAUAUUUGCUAUCCAAUGAUUAAACAUGUUAUCCACUAUUAAAAGCUAAAUGCAGUCAAACCAGUGUCAGCUAUUUGAGCCUCAUGAACCCCUGGUUAUACUUGUUGAGUACGAUAUGUGCUCACUCUUGCAAUUUCCCAACACCUUAGGUUAUGUUAAUGAUGAUGCUUGGAAUGAGGAUUACCGUUAUGAGUACUAGGUUUGGAGUCAACCAGUCAACAGUGUCCCUGUGUGGAGCUUCCGUCGAGAGCGUUGUUUACUUUAUGCUAUCAUUUUUGUAUGAGACUAUGUGAGUUCCGCUAUGUAAUAAACACUGCAAUGGUACUUUUGAGAUUUGUCUACUUAUGUGUGCGACUGUUUCUGGGACAUAUAUGAGUCUUUUAUGCAUCCUAUUUUGUUCUUAAAAUAUGAGUGUGACAGUUUUGCCUGAGUUGAAGUGGCGUCCGAGUUGUCGAUGAUUCCAUGCGGACAGGGGCCUGGCUGAUAUUGGGCUAUGUGUUGAGGAGUUGUGGGCUGUUGUGGCCUCUCUCGAUCGACUCAGCAGAGUUGUGGGUGCAGAUGUUUGGAUUCAGGGGGUGCGAAUACCAUAGAAACAUGCAAAGUAUAGCAUAUUUUGUAUUUUUGUCUGGGUGUGGCCGCACCCAGUAGAUCCUAUAUGGAUCCGCCCAUGUAUAACGCACAUGGAGAAAAGACACAGGUGGCAAAGCAAGACAAGCAUGGCUGAGGGACAGAGGCGGCGAAGCGGUGUGCAUCAUCCAUGGGGACGGAAGAGUGAUGCAUUAGUGGCUCAUGCAUGGAUGAGGAAGAGAGGAGGCAGUUGAGUGGCUCUUAGUUCGCAGACGACUUAACUCCGGGUCUGUAUAGUUCAACUGUCACCAGAUAACUAUGAAAAAGCUCAUGUGAGCUAUGCGCUCUAGAAAAAUUAUAAGUUGUUUGGUUAAAGCAACUACAAAACCUAUUAGGGGUGGAUCUAGCACGUAGUCGAGCGGCGUCGAGCCCCUCUUACUGCCAUUGGAAAUGUAAAGCCUCUCCUAUAAGUUUGUAGCUAUUAAAGUUUAAAAGAAAUUGCUAAAUGCAAAAGAUAAGGAGGAUGAGCCCCUCAUACCUAUCCAAUCUAAUCUCUCUUGAAAUGAUUAUGAAAUGUUGCUAUAUUUCCACCCAUUUGGAAGUUGGAAUAACUGAAAGCAAGAAGUAGGGUUCAAGGUGUGAAAAUUAUACUGUGAAAGCAGUAGCUUCUAAAAAAAUAGCUUUAGAUGUUUUAUCGGUUAACACCACCACAAUAGCAAUUUUCCUAGGUGACCAUAAUUGGUUUUUGGAGUCGGGCAGCCAGUACGUCUGCCUCUCCUUCAACACCAGUAUAAAUCAAGAUUUAUGCAGGCGGACACUUGCUCAUCUGUGUUAACAAAAUAAGAAAUGGCAUGCGCAUCGAUGAGGCCCUCCAAGCCUAUCCACAAGGCCCGCCGAGCCCAUUCACGUGCUGCCAUUGUCGCUGGAUCCGCUCGUCGGAUCCACGCUCACUAGAGGAAGGGAGCAGCGUACUACCGACAUAGGGCCUGCGUGCCAUCGCCGAUUGCCCCAAACGCUGCGCUGGAGGAAGUGUGGAUCGCGCACCGCUGCUAGUGGCCGCAUGCACUGCGCCACCGUCUGAUUUUUGUCCGACACCCCGCACCACCGUCUGACAAAUAGUAUCAUUCUCACCUUCUGAGAAGUUAAACAUUUUAAAUUUUGACUAAAUAUAUAUACAGAAAUAUUAGUAUUUAUGGUGUAAAAUUAGUAUCAUUAGAUAGAUCGGUGAAUAUAUUUUUAUUAUAAACUACGUGAAGAUGUAAAUAUUGAUAAUAUUUAUUUUACAUAAUUUGUCAGAUUCAAGAAAGCUUACCAACACACAUUCCUUCUCAGUGACACUCAAGAGAAUAAGUACGUGGUAGACAGUACGUUUUCAUAUGCUCAAGUACGACUAGAAUAUAACCAGAACAUGCAUGCGAAACUGUGAAAUAAAUCGCAAACCAAACUUGAUUGGAACUUAGCACCGGCAUACAAGUGAUCGCCGGCUUUUUUUCAACAAAUGAAAAAAAUACAAUUUGACAGCACGGCCGGCCAUGCGUGCAUGCAUGUAUGCUGACUAGUCGUACAUCAUACUACGUGGAAAAGCAAUCAAAUAACAACGCAUCAUUAAAACCGAGCUGAAAUUAAAAGACAAGAUGUCUCAAGGCGCUGAGAUCCAGGCGCUCAUCAGCACAUGAAGCCGGUGGGCACGGUCUUGCCGCAGUAGUUGAGGAUGAGGCUGAGAUCGAGUGGCACGUUGAGGUUGAUGCCGAGGACGUUGGCCUUGAUGGCGGUGCAGAGACAGACGGCGGCCUCCAGGUCGACGAGCCCCGCCAGCAGCGGGCAGCAUGGCUCCGCGGGCGGCACGCCGACCUGAGCCUUGAUCAGGCCCAGCACAUUGGCGCACACGCCCAGCUUCAACGCAUCCCUGGGGCACGAGCCGUUCGACGACGACGAUGGCGUGGGUGUCGUCGGGCUGUUGGGCGCACAGGCGCUGGCUACGCCCAGCACAACCAGGUUCACGGCCAGGAACAGCGCGAACGCCUUGGACGCCAUUAUUGCUCGAUCACACCAGCUCGCGGAUCACUCUAGAGCUAAUAUGGUCAGAGAGCUCUUGACAAGUGAUUAGCAGCUAGUUUGCGAUGCUUUGAUCACGGGGUGUUACCAGGGAUACUUAUAGUCCAGCCUUAGGAUUAAGAAAUCGGUGCACUACUAGGCACGAUAGUGUUCAAAUGAACCGAGUCAUCAUAUUCAAAUAUAUACAGGUGAACCCGACCGGUGAGGAAGAGUCCGUUCUAGAUUAUUGCCUACAUCGUAUAUUUAGUGUUUUCCGUGAUACGGUAUCAAAUAUUUUGUGCACGACGACUUCGGUUGGCUCCGCAAAUGGCCAGCUCGUAUACUAAUAUUUGUUUUCAUAUGAUCAUUAGGCAUCAUUUCAGCUGGGCAUCCUGGCGGAUCCGACGGAGUGGUGCCCAGGACAUUGGAUGUCAAGCUAGCGAAGCAGCUGGUGAUUAAGAAGGAAUGUGUGGCGUGGCGCGUGCUCAUUUAGAAUGGAUGCGCAAGAACCAAGGCCAGAGGAAUAGCAUGGUCCUGAUAUACAAAUUAAACUAGCACGAUUGGAAGAAGUUUCAAAGCCACGACAAAACUCUAUAAUUCUUAUGUUUUGGUGUAGCAUUGAAAUUAUUUUUUUAGAAACCACAUUGAAACGUAAAUGAAAAUUUCGGACACAACCUUUGGGUCUACAUUGCUUGAUCACUGGCCUAUCCAUCAACUUUAAUUUGAGCCACAUGGACCAACCUUCUUAGCUCGGAAAAGUAACACUGCUGCACAAAUGAUUUCACAAGAGGCACUGGUCCUAGAUUUCACAGUCGAGGUCUGGCACCAUCUCCGUUCUUCUUCCCUGGCUCGACCUUUUUCCUCGUCUCCAUCCACCACCAUCCUUGUUGUGAGCGCCUUCCCAUGCAGCCAUCCGAGGAGGGGCUCCCUUGCCACCACAUCGUCUUUCUCGUCUUCUUUGUCGGAUGCGCCUUCUAGGUAGACCCCUCACUAAAUCCUAGCUUGGUUGUGCUACAUAGACAACCUCUAUGGCAACUAGCGUCAGCUUUAGUGUCGUUGGGUAUGUUGUUGCAAACCGUCCUUUGUUUUCUAUGAUUAAAAUCAUGAUAAUUAGAAACAUGUACACACAUGCACAUGUCAGAUGUCACAAAACAUGUUAUUCAUAAUUUUCUAUAUUAAACCGGUACUUAAUUUGCAUUAAAUUUAAUGGCUGUAAUGGUGAAUGAGUUCAUCGCCCGCUAGUUUUACGUCUUUUUUUAUUGCCGUCAGAAUGUGCUUCAAAUAUCUUUGGCAGAGAGACUAAGAGAGAGAGAGAGAGAUAGCUAGUUUUUGAAUUGCCAUGGACCCAAAUCCAAGGAUCAUGGACCAUGAAUGGAUUAUUUACCAUUAUACCAUUAGGAUUAGGAUAUAUAGUUGGGUCCAUGCAUGCUUGAUUAAUUUAUUAGUGUAGACACCAAAAACUAUCCUUUUUAUCACUACUUUCUUUAUAAUAUACACCAAAAAUUCUUUACUAAACUACCUCCCUCGAUCACAAACACAGUCAUGCCUUAUCUAUGUUCUAUAGCCUUUCUCUUCCUCACUGAAAAUCAUGGCCAAAGUCAUCCGGAUCAUGCACAUCAUUGACAUCUGUUGUGUCUUCAAACUUUUUGUCAAAGUUACCCGCUAAAAGGUUCUUGUUUGGUUUUGGUAAUUGAAUAACUUAGGUGGACUAAUAGUUUUUAUGUGAGAUACACAGGAGAUUAGUCUAUAGGUGAAUAUGUAAUGAUGGAGGAGCUCAUUGCAUAUGAGACAUGACAUGGAGUCAUGUGACCAAGAUGGAGAAGAUCUAGAUAAGGCUUGGCUUGACGGACUGAUUGCAUGUGUGAAGGGCAAGUCGGAGGCUUUGAAGCGAGAGACCGCGUGUGACAGCUAAGCUUGAGCAAGACUUGGCAGCGUUGGACGCUAGACCUGCGUUCGACAAUGUGUGAUAGAGUUGCACUGUGCAUUGGCAUGUCCGAAGGUUUUGUGUCGGAUGCUGACCGAGUACUAAUGAGUGUCCAACGCACGCAACGUUUUGCGAGGUGUACGUGUAGGACGCUGGCACGCGUCCGAUGAUCACCCGUCAGACACGUCCGAUGGUGUGUAACCAAGUUUGGGAACUCUCUAAGCAGCGUCGGACGUGAGGUGCUAGCGUCCGACAAGUUGUGCCAGAACGUCCUAUCCCUCGGCACGUGUGAGUUAGCCGUUGGCGGCAACGGUUAAGUUCAAACGACUAGUAGCACGUGGCUGCUUCAUGAGCUACGGACACUGGGGUGGUGCGUCCGACGCCCCCGCGUUUUGCCUAGUGAAGGGGCAACGGCUUGUUUAGCCCUUGUGGCUAUAAAUAGAAGUGUGGCCGCCCUUUGGCUAGUUGCUGAGCCCACUAGGGCCUUGGUGGCUUAUGUGGUGGCGCUUGGGAGCCCUCUAACUCACUUAUGCUUGAUAGUGAUCAUCUGAUUGAGUGGGAGAGUGAUUCUAGUGUGAUUGCAAUGUGAGAUUGCAUCGAGUGGCACUAGGUGUUCGUGUUGCAAGCUGGUGGUGCUUCUUACUCUUGGAGGUUGCCACCUCCUAGAUGGCUUGGUGCCUUGUGACUCUAUCGAAGCCUACAAGGAGAUUGUGCGGUGCUCUGAAGAAGAGAUUGUGAGGGGUACGGUGCUCACCCGGCAGGGAUCACGAAGAGCAACUCUAGUAGAGCGAGACGUGAAGGGGACAAGUGGUCCGGCCGGAUCAAGUGCUAGAGCUUAUGGUAAGCACUCUACAUGGGAGAGUGUGACUUGUGGGUCACCAGCAAGAGGACCGGUGGCAACCUUAGCUUGGUGGCAACCAAGUGAACCUCGGUAAAAAAUCACAGUGUCAACAUUGUCUACUUUCUUGGUGGUUUGCAUUCGCCAUACACAAGCUUGUAUUUACAUUCCUUAUAUAUAGUGCUUUAUGUAGUUGCUCUUGUAACUAGUUUACCUUGUGGAGCUUACUAGUUAUGUUCUUGCUUGUGUAGUUAGAAGUAGUUUCCUUGCAUAGCUAAUUUGGUUUGUGUAACCUUGUUAGUCAUAUUACUUAGUUUGUGUAGCUAAGUAAUUUGCGCUCUCUAAUUUGGCAUUGGUUGCCUUGUUAUUGAGCAUUUCUAGUGAGCUUAGGAGCUUUGUGCUUUUGCUUACUAGUUGUGUAAGAGCUUCCCCGAUGUACAAAGUACUAGUGGUAUCAGUUUAUGUGACAUUGCUCCUAGAUUUGGUUAGGUGAGCUCUUGCUAAGGAAGCACCUUGUUUGCUUGUUCAGGAUCUUCUACAAAGUGCUAGAGAACUUAGAUAGAGGGGUGUAGUCUUGGCUAGACCGAUAGUUUUAAUUCUGCAUUUGUUUCGAUUUGCUAACGCGAUAAGUUUUAGAAAGGACUAUUCACCCCCUCUAGUCUGCCAACUUGAUGCUUUACCCAAUAGCCACUGUUUGUGUACUUAUAUAUGAUACACGUUUGUUCUUUCUCUUUGUUUCCUAUCGUGUCAACAGUUCCGCUGCUGCGUGGGCGUGGUCAUCGGCCCCUGGCAACAAUCACAGGUCACGUGCCCGCUCUGCCAUGCAAACCUCAAGAAGCAUCUCUGGUGCCAGUGCAGGCGAUGGUACCCCAUCACCGCCUCUCAUGGUGUGCUAUAUGACGACUCAAAGAACAUUGACGAAGAUGAUAGGAAGAAGAAGCAACAAGUUAGUGUUCAAGUAUUUUGGAGUGGCAACAAGUGUUCAAGAAAUGCAAAUGCUACAGGAAGACAUGAAUUGCAGUUCUGUUCUUUUGUUUACACCUACUAGGCUACUAUCUGUAGGCCAAAAACAUAUGGAAGUGUUGAAUGCCACUUUUGCGCCCAAGUCAUGAUCUAUUGAUCUCUUAGCUUUAGCCAUAACCAGUUAGUAUGUCAGACUUAGUAUAUGCUUAUAUAUAAGGUUGCUAAAGACUAAUCUACAUCCUGGACCUCUAUGUAUGGUUGCAUGUACUAUGAUCAUCACUUGACCUAUUAUGUAUGAUCAUCCAGUUCGUGUAUGUAUGGAGAUCUGAUAUUUUAAUUCUAUAAGAUCAUGUGAUUUUGCUCGAUCAAUGUGAUGUGUAUUUAUUAAAAUAUUCAAAUUGUAUCUACACCCUACUAUCUGCAAUAUAGUUUUACCGACACUUCUACUGUUGGACAAGGCAUGGUUUAUAAAACACCCUGAAAACGGUUUCGUUAACAUACGAACUGUCGGAAAAGGUUCAAACUAUCGACAUAGGUCCAAAAUGUCGGCAAAGGGUUCACUGUCGGUGAAAGUUCAACUGUCGGCGUAGGUACGCCAUUUGACUACAGAAAAUGUGUCGGUGAUGCCUUUAGCUGUCAGCAAAAGUUUCGCCAACUGCUUCUACCACGACUGUUUGAAAACUAUCGGCAAAACCUUUCGUGAGACAUUAAGUGUCGGCAAAGGGUACCUUUGCCGAUAGUUGGAAGUGUCGGCAAAGCCAUGUUGUGUUAUAGUGGUAUUGAGCUGCAGAUGCUGCAACAUGUGGCAGGCCGCCAGUAUGCUGCGGUCAUACUUGAUCACUCAUUCUUUGCAGCUUCCGCGUUCAACACCGAGGAGGGUGGCCUCAAGAUGAUCAUGUUGUGGGUGCUUGGAGCACUUGCUCUUAAAUCUCUAAAUGAUAUUGCUCUAAACAACUUCUUUUAGCAACCUGGAGGGAGUAAUUAUUCUUUUCCACCGAGUGAAUUGGGUUAUUUUUCUCGUUUUUGAAGGAACUCUAAUCGUACGUACAUGACUUAAUUUUAUAUCGCAGAAAAUAGUUCCUAACUGCCAAUGGUAUUGCUGAGGAUAGCGCUGGGAGGUUAUCAUGUCUUCAAAAGUAAUUAAAUUUAUAUCUCUUAGCCAAAGCCGGUAGGUCGAAUUCUAUAACUCUUGUCCUGCUACUGUUAUUCAUAGUAGUGCCACGAAUAUACUGUAAUAUAAUGUUGCUGGUGGAUAUAAAACAAUGUUUAUAGCUACAUUAUUAUCCAAAUUGUUGUUUGUUCUUUAUUCUCAAACUUUUGAUUUGACUCACCCACUUUGAGCUAGCAGCAAGGUAUUGAUCUAGAAUCAACCAAUAGCUGACAGAAAUCUGAAAAACAUGCCUGUUUAAGUAUAAGAGAGAAUGCACAUGAAUCUUGGCUUCUAACGUUUUAUUUAGUGUGUGGUAGAAUAUUUCAGGUAGGAGAUAUACCUUAGUGGUUAAUCGAGUGCAGGUUAUUCUUCUAAACUUCUAUAAUAGUUCUCUGCAGGUGUCCAUAUUCAUGAUUUUUUUAGUUCAACAUAAUAGUUGGAUUAUCCGAUUGAGCAACUAGUUAAAACUCAUGGCUACAUUCCUUUUCCCCUAUGUUUCUGUCAGCAAUGUUGAAUAGAAAAUUUUUCAGUUGACUCCUUCCAAUGCAUGUAAAGUAUCACACUGGUACAAAGGGAUAUUUUUUAGUUCUAAUUAGAACACAAUAUGUCUUAUCAUCUUAGUGUUAUUAAGCAUAAUGACGCCCGAUAAGCAUAUUUCUUGUUAUACAUGAAAAUAAGAUAAUGUGAUCAUUCACUUUCUUCUUUAUCUUGCAUAAUAGUUAUCUUGCCAUCAACUUUGGGCACCUUUUCUAAAGGUGCCAGCUGGCAAGGAGGGCGCCAAGCGCAAUGUGGUCUUCUCCAUAUUGUGGGGUUCGGGAGCCUUUGGCAAGACGGCGCUGGCCAUGGAGGUGUGCCACACCUAGAAGCGGAGUUCUCGUGCUAGACGAUGGUGUCUAUGUCUCGGGUUCGAGCCAUGCGGGGACCUCAAGGUGCUUUUCAAGGGCCUUCUUCAGCAGGUCGUGAAGCCCAAAACAGCUAACAACAGGGACAUCAAGGAAGAGGAUGCAAUCGGCGCCCUAGAUGACAAUUUUUUUUCGAAAGAUCCGUUGUCGGCUUUCAUUUAUAAGAAGGAGCAUCAAUUACAGUAUUUACAUGGCGCCAGAGGCACCUUUUUGCAGCGUUCCAAGGAAAACCAGGAAGCCACAUCACCCCUGCAAGCUAAGGAUCUAAUUUACAUAUCUUGCUGUGACAACUAAACAUGCCUCUAUGGCCCUAUUACCCGCCCUCACCCAAACUCUAGCCUCUUCCUGGAUUGAUCGGAAGACCUGUUCAGGUGUCUUGUCAACCUUGUUGAAAACCCGCGCAUUUCUCUCUUUCCAAAGCUCCCACACCGUUAGCAUGACCAUGGAUCGGAGUCCUGCACCUCUGGCACUGUCAGUACUUGUAGAGAUAUCAAUAUACCACUGACCCAGGUCAAAGGUUUGCAUCCAGUUUGUCGGGUUUGUAGUGGGUGCUGCAAUCCAGGUGCUCACCUUGGACCAGACCUCUCUUGCGAAGCCACACUCUUGAAAGAGAUGACAAACAGUCUCCAAAUUUCUCCAGCAGAACUGACAGAAGUAAUCAUUAGGCCACUCUCUUUGUUGCAGCCGCGCCGCUGUCCAGAUCCUAUUCUGAAGCAUCAGCCAUGUGAAGAAGCGACAUUUUGGCGGUGCUUUCGUCUGCCACAUGGCUCCUGCUGUGGCAGAGUUUGUGUUCCCAACGAACUGCAGUUCAUAUGCGGAUCUUGCUGUGUAGUGCCCAUCCGACGUAUGUAACCAGAUGAUCCUAUCUUGUUGUGUUGGUAUAAGGUCCACCUGCUGCAGUUUCUCCCACAGUGCAACGAAAUCUGCUAUCAACUGCUCAGUCAAGCUAUAGUCUACAUCAUCGAUCCAUUUAUUAUCCGUAAGCGCUUCCUUGACUGAUCUAUUCUUCCUUUUACUGUGACUGAAUAAGGCCGGGUAAAGCGUCGCUGGGGACUGCCCUUCCAUCCACCUUGAUUGCCAGAAGGAAGUGGACUGGCCAUCUCCUAAAAGGACUCUAGCAAAGGAACUAGAAGAGCUUCUCGUGGAUAAGAGCUAUAUAUAGUGCUUCUAGUUCUAUUAUUAUUUUUUACUAAUUAGCCCAUCAAACCAUAUUAGAGCAUUCGUAGACUAUAAUCUUAUGUUACAUGAUUGUUAGAAUUUUUAAGAGUAAAUUAAUCAAAAUUAAUUAUCUAUACAAAUUUUGUCAUGUUUUGUGAUUUACCGUACCGUUAGCAUGGUGGACAUUUGCUCGCCUUUGUUAACAAAUUAAAAACGGUAAUGAUAAUAAUAGGGCGUCCGUCCGCGCCGGACGGACCAGACCGAGCACACACGUACGCGUAACGCUUUGUUUUCUUCGCUGGUUGCCGUCUGCAUCCCUCCAUCCGCAGAGCGCUCCCUUCGCAUCUCUUGCCGCACUCACUUUCUUCUCUGUGUCGCCCUCCUGCUCGUUGGUCGCAACGUCGUCAAAACUGAGGGGUAUCGCGGCCACACGUCUGCAGGCUCGCAGCGCAUCCCUGCACCACCUAUGCUCCCUCCUCCUCCUUCCCUCGCGCCAUUGCGCCCUCCACGGACCCCCACUACCCCUGCGACCUGGCUCCAUGCACACCACCGGAGAUGAGGACGGCGGCGGCGGCUUCAACGAGGUAGGUUGCGAAAGGAUCUGAAUCUGAGACUUCAUAUUCCUCCUCUGAAUCUAGAUCUGAGCUCUCCUCCCUCAUUCUCCUCUAGAUCUGGCCCUUCUCCUCCUACUCGUUCUCCUCCCCCUCCUCUCCCAUCUGGAUCUAAGGGAUAUGGGGGUGGCUAGGGUUCCGACGAGCUUUUUGGGCUUCGGAUCUCGCCGUGUUGCAGUGGUUUGGGGUUCAGAUCUCGCCGUGUUGCAGUGAUUUCCUUUAAAUGUUGCAGAAGUGUUUCAGUUGAUGUUGCAGUAGUACUGCUUUCAGAUUGCAAUAUGUUUUCAGUUGAUUCAAUCUGCAUGUUUACAGUAGUUGUUGCAACAGUUGUUUGGUAUUGUUGUAAUAUUAUGUUCAUGGUGUUUUAGCAUGAUGUUUCAACUAUUUUUUGUUGUUUUUGUAAUAAUAUGUUCAAGGUGUUUCAACAUCUUCAUCCCAAUGUUGCAGUUGUUGUCUCUUUUUGUUUGCAAUACGUUCAUAGUGUUUCAAUUAUUUCUACCUAUUGUUGUAGUAGUUUUUCGGUGUUGUUGCAAUAACAUGUUCAUGGUGUUUCAGCUGCUUCAUCCUCUGUUGCGGGAGGGGCGAGCUAGGAGACAGGUUGUAGGGGCAAGCUAGUGGUGGGAGGAGGUGUUGGGGCUGUAAGGUUGGGGGCGGGCGGAUCCCAUGCACGUGGGUGGUCGUAGGUGGAUUUCGAGCGCAGGGAGCGGAGGAAGGGUCGUUCCAAUCUCGACUUUUAUCUUCGUGCGGGCGGAUGACAAUCUCUACUUUUCUUCUCCGUGCGGGGUAAGAGGGGUCACGAUUUAAUUUGGGAAGGCAAGGACAAUUUUUAGUCUCUACUUUUUUUUUCUUUUUCGGGUAGGGUAGGUGGGAAGACCGCGAUUCGGCGUUCACUCGGCGUUCGGACGCUAGCACCAGGAUCGGACGUCCGAGCGCUAGCACUUCCGAAUUAAAAAAUAGUGUGUGCAUCGAUGAGGCCCACUGAGCCCAUCCAUAUGCCACCAUUGUAGCUGGAUCUGCUCGCUGGAUCCACGCCAACCAGAGGAAGGGAGCCGCGUGCUGCAGACGGAGGUUCUGUCGUGUCGACGACCCCGCACGCUGCCGCUCGAGGAAGUGCCGGCCGCGCACCGUGCAGCUAGAGGCCGUAUACACCGCGCCGCAUGCACGUCGAAUUUUGUCCCACGCCCGCGCCACCAUCUGACAAAGGGUAUCUUUCUCACCUUCCGAGAAAUUAAAUAAUUUAAUUUUUUACUAAAUAUAUAUAUAUAUGGUAAUAUUAUUAUUUAUGGUGCAUAAUUAGUAUUAUUAGAUGUAAAUAUAUUUUUAUAAUAAAUUAUUUAGAGAUACAAAUGUUGUUAAUAUUUUAUCUAUAAAUCUUGUCACAUGUAACAAAGUUAACAAACACGCAUUCCAUAGUCACACUGAUGAUAGGGGGUAUACCUGUAGCUCCUAUUAAGUACAUGGCAGCCGGUACGUAUUCAUAUGCUCAAGUACGGUAAGAAUAUAACCAGAACAUGCAUGCACACUGUGAAAUAAAUCGCAAACCAAACUUGAUUGGAACUUAGCACCGGCAUACAAGUGAUUGCCGGCUUUUUUACAACAAAUGAUAAGAGUCACAACAUAGCGGCACUCAUGCAUGCUGACUGCCGUACUACGUGGAAAAGCAAUCAAAAAAGUCCAGUCUUAAUGGACAGUAUCACUGUACGGUUCACAUACCAACACGUCUCAAGAUUGAAAUGAACUAUCUAUGAAAUAACCCCAGCAAAAGCAUUUCACUUUGUUAUUUUCAAGGCUAAGCAAAAAUAAGGCGAAAAUAUUAUAGACUUGUUAAACUUUACCGACUCCAACCAAACACCUCCAAGAUCCAUUGUAUGUUUCCCUUCUUUUUUGACGGCAUAUUUGGGGUAGACAGUGUCUCAAGUGAAGGGAGAAGGUGACGUGGAGGAGAUAUUAUAUUAGGUGGAGUGGAUCUCUCAAGCUGAUAUGGUAGAGGGAGAAUGCAUUCCAAGCGGUGCGGGUCUUGGGUGGAGGUGAGGGAGAUGGCAGAGGAAUGACACGCAUGGAGAAAGAAUAGAGGUGGCAAAGCAAUGCAAGUAUGGAUGAGGUUGAGAGGCGGCAAAGUGGUGUGAUGACUUAGCGUCUCAUGCAUGUAUAAGGAAGAGAGGAGGCGGUUGAGUGGCUCUUGGCUCGCACAUCACUUAACUUAGCACUUAUUUGGUUGCCUUAUCAAUCUACAAGCUGCGUCAUGCUUAGGAACAGUCUAUCAUCGACGCUGUGGCCAGAAAAAUUCCAUUCUGGAAAUCAGGACUCCUCGCUUCCUCUAGACGUGCACUGCUCACCAAGGUCACGCUCUCGGCCGUCCCCAUCCACGUCUCAAUAGCAACAUGCCUCUCCCCUUGGGCAAUUGAAAGAAUUAAUAAGAUCUGGCGGGCUUUUCUUUGGAUGGGGAAGGAGACGGCGAGAGGGGGACACUGCAGGCUAGCUUGGCGAACUGUUUGCUCCCCAACCAAGUAUGGUGGGUUGGGCAUGAUUGAUCUACGGCUGUUUGGUUUCGUGCUAAGGCUACGGUGGGAGUGGCUGAAGCGCAUCGAACCAGACAAAGGCUGGGCACGUCUUCCAGCCAAGCAGGAGGAUGCCGUUACCGCCAUGUUUAUGGCCUCUUGCUCGGUGCAGUUGGGUGACGGCAAAUUGGCGAGUUUCUGGAAUGACAGGUGGCUCCCGGUUGGAUCCCUACGGUCCUUUGCGCCACAUGUUUACUAGGCAUCGUCCAGGGCUGGGAGCGUAAUGCAAGGAUUUUUAGAAAACGAGGCUAAGUCAAUGGUUGCAAUCGCAAAACACAUCAAGGAAGAAGGAGAGCGCUUUGGAUCGACGCUGGUUUCAGGUUUGGUUUCGUGUGUUGGAGCCUGCAGAUUUGCAGCUAUUGCUAGAUGGUCUGAGAGAAGAUAGCUUGUGCACUUGGUGGUUGAAGAAGCGCCAGCUGCUGGAUUCUGAGAGGCGCAGAGGCUUCGAUGUCUUGAUGCUGCUGGUCUCCUGGGAACUAUAUGAAUGGAGCGUAAUGCAAGGAUUUUCAGAAACGAGGCCAAGUCAAUGGUUGCAAUCGCAAAACACAUCAAGGAAGAAGGAGAGCUUUGGAUUGAUGCUGGUUUCACUCCUCUAGCUGUUGUUUGGGCGUUCUUUCAGAAUGACGGAUCGCGCUUUUGGUAGACGUUUAGUUUACAGUUAUCUUGUCUACCCUUGUUUUGUUGUUAGCUUUGCUAAUGUGCAUGCUUACCGCUCGCAAGCAAGCUAAUGUAGCAGGUCUAACAGUAUGUUGUAACACUAAAUUUCUUUUGUCUUAAUGAAACACGGGCCGUUUAAACCCGUUCGCAAAAAAUAAAUGUUGUGAGCUAUUAACUAUGAAAAAGUUGAUUUGAGCUAUGUGAUGUGGAAAAACUAUAAGUUAUUUAGUUAAAGCACUUUAAAACCUAUCAUGAGUGGAUCUAGCACAAGGUCAACCGAGGUCGAGCCCCUCCUAUUGCUACCGAAAUUACGGAGGCCCUCCUACAAGUUUUUAGCCAUUAAAGUUUAAAUGGAAAUAAGGAGGAUGAGACCCUCUGAUCCUAGCAUAUGUUUCUAGAUCCAUCAAUAAAAUCUACCUUUUUUCUUGUCUCCCUAGAAACUACUGUGAAAUGUCUUUAUCAUAUUUUUUGCCACAAAAUUCACGGCUACACAGUCAGUGGGAUUAGAUCCUGUGACCUUCCUCUUGUGUGUCUCCCUCCCUAACCACCCCUUGUAUAUAUAUUGCAUUUCGGUUCCUCUUGUGUGUAAAUUGAUUGUUUGAAGCCCUAAAUGAUUUCAAAUCAGAACAUUGUCAACUACAAAGUUUCAUAACUUUUUGAGAUCUACAAUUUUCAUUUAGAGAGUUUCUCUAUCCGAGGUCGUUUAUAAAAUUUGAAUUUCAGAUUUGAGAAAUUCAAACGUAGUUUUUGCAUAACAAGAUGAUUUCAAAGCAAAAAAAUUGUUAAAUAUAAAGUUCAUAACUUUUUGAUAUUUACAAAGUUUAUUUAGUGAGUUUUUUCCAUCUAGGUCAUUUGAAAAAUUCGGAUUUUAAAAUUUUUAAAUAAAGAAGCAGUUUUGCAUGACAAGAUAAACUCAAAUGAAAAGGUUAUAAAAUAUAAAAUUUCAUAAAUUCUCAAGAUCUACAAAGUUUAAUUUGAUUAUUUGUUCAUCCGAUAUGGUGAUUCUAACAUAUUUCACAAAUCUUAUAUAUCUCUCUUAUAAUUUGAUUAUUUGUUCAUCCGAUAUGUAAAAUUUGUGAAUAAAUUUAUUUUCACUUUGUCAAAUAAAAAAAUUACCAAAAUAAACAUUGUAGAUCUUGAGAAGUUAUACAACUUUGUCUUUUUAAUUUGAAUUUGUUUAGGGCUUUAAAAUUUGAUUUGAUGUAAUUGAAAACUUUUUUGAUUUGAAUUCGUUUAGGGCUUCAAAUUUUGAUUUAAAAUUUUCUUUGUCGAGUGUUUUUUUUACACUCGGCACGGCAAAGAGGCUUCUUUGCCGAGUGCCUAAAAAUACAUUCAGUAAAUCAUUUGACGCUUGGCAAAGAGUCGGAUUCUAGUAAAGUGCAAGGUGAUGGUGGCACACGGUAGAGAAGUUUGGCGUUUGGCUGCUUGUGAUAUUUGCAACUUUUAUUUAUUUAUCUUUAAGCUCAAACGAAAAACGGCUGUAAACACGGAUCCAAACCUCUAUAACUUUGUGCUCGCUUCUGCACGCAGCAUACAUAUAUUAACUUGUUCCCAACGGAGACUAAUAACUCAUUAAUAAUGACAUAUAUAUAUAUAUAUAUAUAUAUAUAUAUAUAUAUAUAUAUAUCAUUAUGUGGAGAUAUAAAUGUUGCUAAUAGUUAUUAUAAAUUUAGUCAGAUUUAUGAAAGCUUACCAAGAAGUACUAUCUCACAGUGACACUCAAGAUAGGGGGAGUACACUAGUACACUUCUAAUAAGUACGUGGUACGGCAAAAAUAUAAUCAGAACAUACACACAAAACACUGAAAUAAACCGCAAACCAAAUUUAAUUGGAAGCACCGGCAUACGAUUGAUCACCGGCUCUUUACAACAAAUUCACAGGAACGGAAGAGGCAGGAAAAAUACAGAUCGAUAGCACGGCCAUGCAUGCAUGCAGAGUCGUACCUCGUACGUGGAAAAGCAAUCAAACCAUGGAUCAUUCAAACCGAACCGAAAGGAAAACACGUCUCACAUACGUUCGCCCACAUAUAUGCAUGCGUGCAUGCAAGGGAGGCAACGCACGUCGUCGAGCACGUACGCAAGGGCAAGGCGUUGAGAUCGAUCGAGGCGCUCAGCACUUGAAGCCGGUGGGCACUGUCUUGCCACAGUAGUUGAGGAUAAGACUGAGAUCAAUUGGCAGAUUGAGGUUGAUGCCGAGGAUGUUGCCCUUGAUGGCGGUGCAGAGGCAGACGGCGGCCUCCAGGUCGACGAGCCCCUCCAGCAGCGGGCAGCAAGGCUCCGCGGGCGGCACUGCCACCUUAGCCUUGAUGAGGCCCAGCACGUUAGCGCACACGCCCAGCUUCAGCGCGUCCCUGGGGCACUUGCCGAACGACGACGGCGUGGGCGUCGGUGUCGACGGGGUCCAGGCGCUGGCUACGCCGAGCACAACCAGGUUCACGGCCAGGAACAGCACGAAAGCCU